This 56318-nucleotide long non-coding RNA is filed under the name Capsicum annuum. RNAcentral's name for it is "long non-coding RNA (CANN_LNC009158)". The stretch from base 14003 to 14076 matches the Rfam family "tRNA". The record is from RNAcentral. Lineage: Eukaryota; Viridiplantae; Streptophyta; Magnoliopsida; Solanales; Solanaceae.
UCCUCUCCAACCUCUUAGGUUCAGAGGCCCAGUCUAGGGGUCAAGAGAAUCAGUAGAUCUUUCAAAUAGAGUUGCAGAGACAAGUGGUGAGCCUUCUAUGUUUCGGAAGGUCUUAUGUCCUGCAGUCCUUUUAUCUUAUAUUCAGUUUUGGGGGUCUGCUGGGGGCCUUGUUCCAAUUUUCAGAUAGACAUUAUUUCAGUCAUAAAGUAGAGAUUUCGUAGACGAUUUUAGAGAUGUUGAUUUAGAUUGUGGGACACUAUUCCCCAUUGUCGUUUUCAUAUGAUUCGUGACCAUGUUUCUGUUAUAUUGUGUUUCUUCCGCAUUACUUUGAUCAUAUGAAUUAUAUGCAUGAUUAUCAGACAGAUAGGGGUGUUUUGGGCCUCCAUAGUUUGAAAUGCUCGUCACGGCUAGGCCCUGGUUCGGGUCAUGAGACCAUAUGUUGUAUAAGAGGCAUAUUCAAAUGGUGUUUACUAGCUUGUCGAUGCAGAUGGUGUGAGGGUUGGCCCCAUCAAUGACAAGUUCUUGAAGAAGUACUAUCCUUGAAGGAAGAUGACACUCCUUAAGGCACGAGUAUAAACUGCAUGUACACUCCUUAAGGCACGAGUAUAAAUUGCAUGUCCACUCUUGGCCCGCAAGAGUAUAAACUGUGUACGGCUAAAAAAAAAUAAAAGUCCGCUAGGUUGAAAACCUCGGAAGAGACGACCUAGGCAAAAGUUCGGAAACAAAAAAAACACUCACCCAGAACUACUUUGUGACUUGAUCCUUCAUUGAGGUACGUAGGGGCUUAGAAUUUCAUUCUUAGUUCAGUUGCAUGAGUUUCAAAAAAAAAUAUGUUCCUGCAGUAUCUACUAUAUGGAUACCAAGUAUGAAAAUAUUCUAAUUAAAUUUUGGACUCACUCCACGUAUUAGUGGCUCAAUAGGGGAAAACUCCAAUGAAAUAUGAGCUUCAUUCACAUAAGAUGAAGUCUCCNNNNNNNNNNNNNNNNNNNNNNNNNNNNNNNNNUUGAGAGUGAAAUUUUGACAAAAUUUCCAAGUCUUCAAAUCAAGGCCUCUCGCGGGUUUAUCCUUAAAAUGACCUAAAAAUUUCCAUGCCUUAAGGUGAACAAAAUUUGUCCCUUUGCACCUUAAAUUGGCCUCUCACGGGUUUAUCCUUAAAAGGAUCUCAAAAUUUCUAUGCCUUAAGGUGGACAAAAUUUAUCCCUUUUCACCUUAAGUUGGCCUAUCAAGGGUUUAUCCUUAAAAGGAUAUCAAAAUUUCUAUGCCUUAAGGUGGACAAGAUUUGUCUCUUUGUGCCUUAAACUGGCUUCUAACGAGUUUAUCCUUAAAGUAUAUUGAAAUUUCCAUGCCUUAAGGUGGACAAGAUUUGUCCCUUUGCACCUUAAGUUUAUCCUUAAAAGGGCCCAUAUUUAAAGAAGACCGUUGCAUAAGUGCAUCGAUGAAAGGGCCCAUACUUAGAGAAGACCAUUGCAUAAAUGCAUUAGUAAAGGGCUCAUACUUAAAGAAGACAAUUGCAUAAGUGCAUCGAUGAAAGGGCCCAUACUUAGAGAAGACCAUUGCAUAAAUGCAUUAGUAAAGGGUCCAUACUUAAAGAAGACAAUUGCAUAAGUGCAUCGAUGAAAGGGCCCAUACUUAAAGAAAAUCAUUCUGUCUUCAAGCAAAGUUUUUCGGCCUUAAGGUGACGGAAGCGAAGUUAAACUCUCGCACCUUAAUCCGGUUUUCAAUGUCUUCAAGCAAAGUCUUUCGGUCUUAAGGUGACGGAGAAGAAGUUAAAAUCUCGCACCUUAAGCCGGCCAAUUAUUGCAGUCUUUCGAUCUUAAGGUGAUAGAGGCGAAGUUAAGCUCUCGCCACCUUAAGCUGGCCAAUUAUCACAUAAGUCUUUCGGUAUUAAGGUGACAGAGGCGAAGUUAAACUCUCGUCACCUUAAUCCGUCUAAUUAUUGCAUAAGUCUUUCGGUCUUAAGGUGACAGAGGCGAAGUUAAACUCUCGCCACCUUAAGUCGGCCAAUUGUUGCAUAUUGCUAUUUGGUUCAACCCUGCAAAAAAAAAAAGGAAAAACAAGAAAGAAAGUAAAAAAACACAAACAGAAAGGAUGUUACCUGUUAGAGCAUUGCGAUCUUAAAAGUUGUAUAUCACCAACUUGGAUUGAGAUAAGAUGCCUUGAUGAGAAUAAAGCCCUCAAAAUUGAGUUUGAAGCAAUUAAAACUCCCUUUGAUGGUGAUGGUCCCACAUCAAGAUAUAAAUUAUUUGGUGAGGUGAUGCAAAUCUGUAAUCCUCUGUCGGACAGCAUAUAAAGAUCGACUUCAAAAAGUCAUCUAGAACAAUCCAAAAAGUGUUAAAAUCCAAAAUUUGGAUAUAUUAUACAUGCAUGUUUUCGGGAUUAAGCGGAUCAUAAUUUCAAUACUCUCACAUUGAGAUAUAAUUUUUUUUUGGUGAUGUUGCAUAAAUCUGAAUUGUUGAUGCAUCAAAACUCGAUGUUGAUUUCGGGAUAACACCUGAAAAUAUCUCGAUUUUAUUAAAUUACAAAUUUUGGAUAUGUUAUAUAUCUUUGUUUCUAGUUUCACAAGAAUCAAGCGGCUUGUGAUUUCAUCCUUCCUACUUCAAGAUAUGAAAGUUUUAGUAAAGACGCGUAAAUCUGAAAUUUUCAGCAUGAUAAAAUUCUGGGCUAACUUCAAAAUAUUAUCGAAAAUUAUAUUGAAGGAAUUUAAAGCUGAAUUUUUGAUAUGUUAUAGAUCUCGAAGUCUAGUUUCUGGAAUAUCAAAUAGUUUAUGAUUUCAAUAUUCCUACAAUUAGAUAUAAAUUUUUUUACCACAAAUAUGCUGUGCUGAAAAAAAGUGACGAAAAUAAGAGAAAAGUAGGAGGGAAAGAAAUUCCCUCAAUAUUGUUUAUGGCUUGAAAAUCCUAAAAUCGAUAUUGAGAAAGUGGGGAAACUACCUCCUUUUAUAGAGUUGUAGGAUGGAUGUUUCCUUCUCCAAUAUAAGUUCAGAUUGGAAUAAUUUCUAUCUCCAAAUUCAAAUUGGAGAUUGUUUUCUUCUCCCAUACAAAUUCAAAUUGAAAAUCGCUUCCUUCUGCCAUUCAAAAUUAAAUUGGAGGUUAUUUUCUUCUCCCAUACAAAUUCAAAUUAGAGGUUGAUUUUCUUCUCUCAUACAAAAUUCAAAUUGGAGGUUGUUUUCUUCUCCCAUACAAAUUCAAAUUGGAGGUUCUUUAUUUCUCCAAUCUAAGUUCAAAUUGGAAGAGUUUUAUUCCUGAUUAAGUAAGGUGAUGAAAAAGUCUUCCAAAAUCUGUUUGAAAUUGGAUAUCAUGCCUUACUAACGGGGUCUUAAGUAUAGAGAUUCGUGAAAAAAAAUAAGAGAGUUUUGAGAGGCAAUAUCAAUAUGGUUCGGCUUUAAUUUUUUUGAAUGGGGUAUUCAUACGUAUCAAAAUCGCUGAAGCACGAAGAAAACAUGUUUAAAUAAUCAUACUUCAAGGCUAGUCUCCAAAAUAUUAAAUGUCUCGACAAGUCUUGAAGUAGGGGCCAUUUGUGGCGUUUGUGGGUGAUGCAAUUUUGAAGAUUUAAAUCCAUACAAAAUUCGGAUUAUAUUAAAUUCAAAAUAUAUUAGUCCCAAAUAAAUAUUUCGGAUUAAUAUAAUUGGAUUAAUUAUUUAAGUCCAAACAUAUGGAUUUAAUUAAAGUCCAUUUUUUUUAUUGGGUUAGCCCAUUGAUUUGGGCUACAAAUGAUGAGCCCACUUUGCUAAGCGCAAGAUAUUUUCAUAUUCUACAGGCCCAAAUAAAUGUCACGUGUCAAAUGACGUGGCAUGCCAAGUCAAGUGAAGGAGUGUAACACCGCGUAUUUUUGGGCUAGAAUUUAGACCAUCGUUCCUACGUAUAUAGAUUCGAACUGAAUUAUUCUUUAUUAACAUACGUGUGGUAAACACUCCUAUCGUAAUGCCCCAUAAAAUUCUCGAGUCGAUUUCAUUUUUAGUGUUAUGUUUGAGGGGCUAACAACUAGAAUAUUUUUCUUAGUGUAACGAGAACUUAGAGUCAUUUCAGCUGGCAAUCUUCGGGAUACAACUUUUCAACCUUUUCGACAUUCGUUUUUAGAUUUUCAAGUUGCGUUACGAUCGGGAAAGCUCAUAUUACAUCUCGGAUAAGUUUUGGAAUUUUUCAGAACGCAUAAGUCUGCGUUUCGAUUUCAAAACAGUAGCAAAACGAAUAGCCUAUUGCCCAGUUUUCAGUAUUUCAGGGUCAACUUAAAAUGAUCAUAUCUCUCUGAAUAUAAUGAACUGAGAGAGAUGAUACCUAUAAAAUGAAAUAUCUUUGAGUCUUCUUUCUAAUGCAACUGGUUUCAUCCAAAUCCAACAUCUGAGUAAGGAGUUAUACCCAUUUUACUUUAGCCUGUCAGCUUGUCAACUGAGGGACAGUUUCGAAUUUGUUUGUUUUCUUAGGGGCAUUUUAGUCAUUUCACCUCACCUAAAUUUCGUCUAUAACACCAGAUUUAGCCCCCAAUUCAUCAAAAUAUAAUCCUUUUCUCAAAUUUUCUCUCAAGAACACCCCUUAGGGUUUCAAAAUAAAAACCCCAAUAACUCAAGAUUCAACCAUGGAUUUUCAAAAAAAAUUGAAGAUUUGGAAUCCCCGCAACGUAGGCUUCAAGAAGCACCUAUCAUAUUCGCAUAUAGAGGUACGUGGGGUUAUCUCAAAAAUCUCAUGGGCUUAACAAUUCAUGUUUUAAAAAUGGGGGUUUUGAAAUUAUGAAUAUAAGCAUGUUUCAAGCAUCUUUAUGAUAUUGAUUUGGUCUUUAGGCCUUAUUCCAAAGUGAUUUGAUAUAUGAUAUAUGUAUAUGCAUGUAUUCCAAAAAUAUGUUAACUUGAGAGCAUGAAUGAUAUGUAAUCCCUCUCUUGAUGUGAAUUUAUUUUAAAUGUUCAUAUGAUGUAAAUUGUUUGAAAACAUCUUGAAAAGCAUGACAUGAAAUGUUUUGAGAAUUGAUAUGAUUUUGACUUGAAUAUGAGAGGGCUAUUUGUGUUGAAACAUAUUGAAUACAAUGGUUGAAUGAGAAGAAUGAUGUGAUAUUGAUGGNNNNNNNNNNNNNNNNNNNNNNNNNNNNNNNNNNNNNNNNNNNNNNNNNNNNNNNNNNNNNNNNNNNNNNNNNNNNNNNNNNNNNNNNNNNNNNNNNNNNNNNNNNNNNNNNNNNNNNNNNNNNNNNNNNNNNNNNNNNNNNNNNNNNNNNNNNNNNNNNNNNNNNNNNNNNNNNNNNNNNNNNNNNNNNNNNNNNNNNNNNNNNNNNNNNNNNNNNNNNNNNNNNNNNNNNNNNNNNNNNNNNNNNNNNNNNNNNNNNNNNNNNNNNNNNNNNNNNNNNNNNNNNNNNNNNNNNNNNNNNNNNNNNNNNNNNNNNNNNNNNNNNNNNNNNNNNNNNNNNNNNNNNNNNNNNNNNNNNNNNNNNNNNNNNNNNNNNNNNNNNNNNNNNNNNNNNNNNNNNNNNNNUGCUUUAUAAUGGAUCUCAACUAUAUUUUAUAAAAAUAUUAUGUUUUGUUUUGAUAUCUCUGCGUACCAGUACUUUUGUAUUGACCCCCUUCCCUCCCAGGUUCGGAGGCACAGUCUAGGGGUCCAGAAAAUCAGUAGAUUUCCUCAGACAGAUUCGCAGAGUCACUUGGUGAGCCUUCUAUAUUUCGGAAGGCCUGAUAUCUGGCAGUUUCAUUUAUCAUUUAUUUGUUUUGGGUCUACUGGGGGCCUUGUCCCAGUUUUCAGAUAGAUAUUUGUUUCAGUCAUGUAGUAGAGAUUUCGCAGACGUUAUAGAGAUGUUGAUUGAGAUUGUGGGACAUUAUUCCCCAUUAUUGUUUUCAUAUGAUUCUUGACCAUGUUUCCGUUAUAUAGUGUAUCUUCCGCAUUUUUUUUUCAUAUAAGUCAUGUGCAUGAUUAUCGGAUAGAUAAGGGGUGUUUCGGGCCUUGAUGGUUCGGAAUACUCGUCAUGGCCAGGGCCCCGGUUCGGGUCGUGACAAGGAGCCAAUAGGAUCAUGCCACAUGUCAAAAUAAUGCAGCAGCCUCAAUAAAAUCAAAGCCCAUAAAAGGCGCCAUGUCACUUGAAUUUGAUUGGUCAAAUGAAGUCCAUCUUCAUCAUGACUGUUCCUUUUCCACAACUAUAAAUAGAGUUCUCAUAAUUCAGAAAGAGGAACCCAGAACUCUAACAAGUAGCAAGAGAAAGCUUGUGAAUCAAACGCCACAAUUUCUCUAAAAAGCUCAAGCAUUCAAAUCAAGUUCAUCAAGAUUCAAGAUCAAGACCGCAAUAUUCAAGAACAAGCUCAAAAACCCUUGAAUUCAAGAUCAAGUCCCUCAAACCAUUCAAAUCAAGUUCAAAUUCAAGAUCAAGCUUUAAGCUCUUGAAUUUAUAUUUGAAAAGGCGAAUCAGAGGAUUCAUAGAGAUUGUAAUACUCACAUAUUAAAAUUAAUAAAUUGAUUGUUGCAAUAUAUUUUUCUUAUCUCGAAGUAUUAUUUUUCGAUUUCAAAAAUUUUACUGUCCAACAACCACAUACUGGAACAUCAUCUUUCCCUGUCAUCCACAUUUUUAAGGACAAACAAACUAAAGUUCACUAGCAUUUACUGUCAAGCAACAUCCAAGGAAGUAUAGUCAAAUGUUAAUGAUCAAUAUUUUGAUCAUUAGCGCCUCCAUUUUGAUCAUUAGGAUCCUGUUCAUCACCCCGCCCAUCUAGAUCAUCAUUCUGUUCAUUAGCGCCUUCAUCUUGAUGACCAUUUUGCUCAUUAGUGCCUACAUCUUGUUCAUUAGGAACCUGUUUAUUAACGUCCUCAUCUUGAUCAUUAGCACCUCCAACUUUAUCAUUAGCGCCUCCAUCUUCAUCGUUAUUCUGUUCAGUAGCAUCUUCAUGAUCUUAAUCAACAUUUUGCUUAUUUGUGCCUACAUACUGUUCAUUAAUGCCGCCAUCUUGAUCAUUACCGCCUCCAUCUUGCUCAGUGUUUGCGCCUAAAUAUUGUUCAUUAGGAACCUGCUCAAUAAUGCCCCCAUAUUGAUCAACAUUAGUGCUUCCAUCUUGAUCAGCAUUAGCACCUCCAACUUGAUUAUCAGCGCCUCCAUCUUGGUCAGCAUUAGCGCCUCCAUCUUGAUCAGCAUUAGCGCCUACAGCUAAAUCAUGCUCCUGCCCAUUUACACCUCCAUUCUGAUCAUUAGGAGCCUGUACAUUAGUGACUUCAAAGAGAGCAUCGUGCAACGUUACACCAUUCUGGUACAUAAGCUCGUCCCUGCCACAAAACACUCAUUUGAAUUAACACCUUACAAGUCAUACCUACAGUCUCCAUUUGCAAAUUUAUAAUUAGAAACUUACAAUUUCAUAAAGAAUCUUCCUGCUAUAAAAUACUCAGAUGCUGGGGAGGCUACCCUCCGCAGACCCCAAGUGUGGAAAUUCACUGGAUGUGUUGGUGGUGGUGGGGCGGCUGCCAUCUACUUCUUCAUGUUUCCGUUUGUUUAAUACAAAAACAUGAAACCAGCAUAUAAUACACAUGUCUCAGACCUCAGAAAAAAGCUUAAAUCACAAGAUGCUGAAAUGCUCAAUUUUCGAAAUCAUGAGACUUACAUUCUAUUUAACUAGCCUUCGAACACUAUGUCGUGCAGUGCACCUUCAAAGUGUACAAGACAAGAAAAUGAACAUAAUAAGUUGCUGUGUGCUUAGGCAAGAAAUAUAUCAGAAACAGCGGUGUCGAAAUUAAGGGAUUGAAUCCUCUUUAUGAAAUGAGUAAGAAUUUUCAUCAAAACUAUUAAUUUCCAAACGGAUGAGUAAGUACAAAAUUCAUUCCUAAAUUGGAAUGAAAAUCCUAGACAGCAAUGAAUGGUAUCCAUUGUAUCAACCUGUUGCACAACAAAUUUUCUUAAAAAAGACUAACUGCUGAAAGAAUCAAUGGGGAAAAAAAAGACUAACUGGUGGAAAAUGAGAAUUCAAAAAAGUAGAAAAAUGCAGAAAGAGUGAAUUAAAACUGACAAGAGAAUGUUAAUAUAGAAAAGCAACCUCUGUCUUGACCGUUAAUUCAAACAGGAGGGAAAUUCAACUGUAUUUUUAUUUUUUAUUUUUUCCCUUGGACCAGAUUUUACAAUUUACCCUCCACAACUCUGAAACUAGUCAUAUUGAAAUUUUACUUUAAAAAGAUUUUACAUGUUUGGAUGUAUGUAAACCAAGUCCCACGUUGAUAAUUGGAAAAAAAAAAAAAAUGAUAAGUUAGUUAUAAAUAGUUAUUAAGUGUGAUAGUUUUGGGGGGAAAUUGUUAGGUGGAUCAAAAUUGACAAUAUCACAUCAUUUUAAAAGUAUUUUUAGGCAAUACAAAAUCUAAAGUAGAUAAUCUACUUAGACUUCUCAUUAGGGUCAUUUGCAUUUUUGCUACUAUUUUGAGUUUUUUUUUAAUUUUUGUCUUUUAAGAUACUUUUUUGCAACGUAAAAAUUCAUAUUUUUACAUCAUAAAAUCUCAUAAAUUAUGUUUCAUGUUCUUAAAGAAGUUAUGCCUAGCUAGACAAUAGUUCAGUUGCUCAGGGCAAAAGUUCAAGAUCAAUCAUUUUAAAAGACAAACUUUGCAAUUAAAUAUUUUAGUGAAAACUUUUGUAGGCACACAAAUAUCAUGACUUAUUUAAAAUUAAAAUUUUAAAAAAAUUUAUAGCUACACAAAUAUUAUUACGCAAUUGAUAUUGCCAGUGUCAAUAAUACUUGCUUUUUCUUCUUAAAUAAUCAGCAUCAAAAUCCUUGAAAUACGAAAAUAUAUCCGGAGAGUUAGAGUAACUAUUUCUACAAGUAUUGGAAUAUUUAGUUCACUUACACCUAUUAUAUACAAAUAAGAAAACUGCGGAGACCGUUAACACCAAGGUUUUGUGGUGUAGUUGGUUAUCACGUCAGUCUAACACACUGAAGGUCUCCGGUUCAAGUCCGGGCGAAGCCAUUUUGUUAUCUCAUUCCUUUUUUUUUGGGUGCCAAAAUGUACUGGUGCUGUAAAUAUGCUCCAUAUAUCAGACUUGGAGAUGUCAUGUUAAAUGGAUACCAAAUAAUUACAUAAACACCCAAUAUGGUACCACUACCUAAUAGGCAGAGAGGCUGUUUCAUAUCAGUAAAUUAUAGUACUACUUACACACACAACUCAAAAAGCUGUGAUUUCAAAUUAAACAGAUACCAAGCAUUGCCAUAUUACAAAAGAUAAAAGAAGUGGAUUAUGUUAUCUGCUCUUAAAUCAACUUCAGGAUGAGAGUGAAAACUAAAAAACAUUAGGUCCACAAUUUUCAAACGUAUAUGCUAAUCUAACUUCAUCAUAUAGCAAAACAUCAUCUUUCCCAAUACUAAAAUUCUGUAGCAUUUACUGCCAAGUGUCAAGCAAAAUAUAAGGAAAUAGAUCAGUAAUCUCAUAGUAGCUUUUAACUGGUUAGUAGCUUUUAACUGGUUGAUUAUUCUCAAAUGCUUGACAGAUGGCUAGUAUCAAGAAAUUAAAAACAAACUAAGCAGCAUACAGAGAAUAGUAGUACUGCAAUCCCAAAACGGAAUAUCACACAAUUAUGGAAUUAGCUUUUUGUGUAAUUAUGAAGUCUAGUUACUCUACUCAGAAAGUGUAUAUCUUUCUGCAUUUUGAUCAGCAUGAAUAGGCUAUCAAUGUCUGCAUUUUUCUCAUUAGCACCUACAUCUUGCUCAUUAGGACCCCGUUCAUUUGCAUUUCCAGCUUGAUCAGCAUUUUGCAGAGUAGAGCCCACAUCUUGUUCAUUAGGAAUCUGUUCAUUAGUGUUUCCAUCUUGAUCAGCAUUUUUCUCGGUAGCUCCCAUAUCAUGUUCAUUAGGAACCUGUUCAUUAGUGUCUCCAUCCGGAUCAGUAUUUUGCUCAUUAGCACCUGCAUUUUGAUCAUUAGGACCCUAUUCAUCAGCGUCUCCAUCUUGAACAGCAUUUUGCUCAGUAGCACCUAAAUUUUGUUCAUUGGGAACCUGUCUGUUAAUGUCUCCAUCUUGAUCAGCAUUUUGGUCAUUAGUGCCUCCAUCUUGAUCAGCAUUUUGAUCAUUAGCGCCUCCAUCUUGAUCAUUAGCGCCAUCAUCUUGAUAAGCAUUUUGAUCAUUAGCGCCACCAUCUUGAUCAGCAUUUUGAUCAUUAGCGCCUCCAUCUUGAUCAGCAUUUUGAUCAUUAGCGUCUACUAAACCUUGUUCCCCAUUUAAAAGAAACAACGGUACCCCGCCUAAAAGGAACAACGGUACACCAUUCCAGGAACUACUAGUCAUACUGCAUAUAUAUGUGUAGAGUCUCAAUUUGCAUAAUUUUAUUUAGAAACUUACCAUCUCAGACAGAAUCUUCCUUCUCUAAAUAACAUGAAGUGUUGGGGGACUGCAAUCUGCGGAAAUCAUUAAUUCAGUAUUUAAUAAAAGAAGCAGCAAAUCUGUCUUGUUCAUCAAAAUCAAAUGCUCUUUAAUAUUAGUAUCUUACAAUUUGACACCCGAGCAGCAUUCCACAUUUGGCACAGUUUAUUUCGGCUGUGGUAAGUCCAUGUAUCACAGGAUCAUCAGUCACGUCGUCAGAUACUCUUAAACAUUAAACCUGCAUAUAUAUAAAGGCUAGUGACGUUUGCAAUAAUACAUAUCCAAGUUGCUGAAAUCAUAUGAAAUAUCCAAUUUUCAGAAUCGCAUGAAAUCAUGAAACUUACACUCUAGCAAAGAUCACUUUUGGAAAACGGGAUGGCACCUGCAAAGUGUACAAGACAAGAAAAUUAGCAUAAUAAAAUGUUCUGUGCUUAGUCAAGAAAUAUAACAUAUAUGCUAAAUUAAUUGCAAAAUUCAUGAUACUAUCGUCUUUAUGAAAUCAGAAGUAAUUUCAUCAACAGAUACAACAUGAUUUUUCCUAAACGAAUUUAGAAGAAAUUAAUUCAAGAUUGUCCUGAGAAUUUGUUUGUAUACCAUUUGGUGUAUUCAUAAAUAAAUUGAUUUCUGCGGGAUGCAGAGAGAGUAAGAAUCCUUACUAUAGAGUCGAUAUCCCAGACGAGUGCAGGUUGAUUUUCGCACCGACGACAGUAGAUGCAAUGUCGAGGAGGGAUAUAAUUGCAUGGGUGAAAAAGUCGACUGCUCAUCCUCCUAUCAACUUUGUUGAAUCAAGAAGCAACUCCUAACAGAUAUGUUAUAGAACAAAUUCACUUCAACAAAGAACAGAAAAAUGGCUGGGAAUUACAAAGACUAACUUCAAAAUAUCAGAAAAUCGAAGACAGGCUCACUUCUCACCAGAAAAGAAUUAACGAGAAUCCAAGAACGUGAAAAAUGGCUGGGAAUUAGAAACGCAGAAAGACUGAAUUAACUUUGAAGGAUAAAAUGCAGAGAAGAGGAUGUUAAUAUAGAAAACUCAGUCCUUGAUUCUUGAAUCCAAGCUCUGUAUUUGCCUUUAAUUCAGAAAGGAGGGAAUUUUGAAAGAGAAUUUUUUUUUUCUUUUUUUCUUUACGAGAAAUAUAGUUGAUAUCUUAAUAAUGUUAUUAUUGUGUGAAUUUCUAUGGUAAAAAUGUACUUUUAUCGAGUAUUUAUACCAAACAUAAAUGACUGAUAUAAUAAUUAAUAACGAUUAAUUAAUGUAGAGAGAGACGAAGAUCGACUUACAUAUGAAAAUCUAGGAGAAGUUAGUGAAGAUUUGAGUAAAUCAUUUGGUUUCAUAUCGAAGCGUUCAACUAAAUAAAGAAUUCAUCUUGUAAGGAGAUUAAUCGAGCAAUACAGAGAAAGAAAGUUUGACUUACCUAUGGUGUUCAUCGAUCUAGAAAUAAAACAUAUGAUAAAGUCCUAAAGAGGAUUCUACGGAGAUGUUUGGAGGCUAAAUAUGUAGAUGUAGCUUAUAUUAGGGCGAUAAAAACAGGUAUGUCCGCCUUAAGAUUCAAGUGAAUACAAUUGCAGGAGACUUGAAGCACUCCCCCAUCUUGAUGAUUGUUGCACCACAAUUCAGCUCUUAAUCUGUUUUAAUUUGUCAUGGUGAUGGUCUGAUGGAUGAACCAAUGCGGCAUAUCCAGGGGAAUGCGUCAUGAUGUAUAUUAUUUGCAGAUGAUAUAGUGUUGAUGCGAUAGUCGACAAUUUAAUGAUAGACUGAAUAUUUGGGGACCAACUCUAAAGUCUAAAAGGUUCAAGUUUAGCAGGCUAGAGAUUUGACGGUUCUUUUUAAUGUUCAUACUCUUUCUAUUUCUUAAAGUUAAAUUGUUUGACGAAUACAAUCCUUCUUCUUGGUAAACAAAAUCACUAAACCAAGUUCUUGUGUACUUUUAUUUAUAAAAAUGAAAUAAGAUGUAGAAGUCAACUAAUAGUUUACAUAUUCGAACCGUGAAAGCAAUCACUAAUACUUGCAUCAGGAUAGACUGUCUACAUUAUGUCCCUUAGGUGUGGAACUUUUUUUGGUCAAGCAUUCCUAUAUUGUUAUUUAUAGCAUAUAAUUUACGAAAUUGUAACUAAUAUUAAUAAGAAGUUUCAAAUUUAAACAUUUUCGUUAAUUUAGUUAGGCUGUACAUAUGAAUGGUAAAUAACGAUAAAAUUACUCUCUUAUUAAAUUAAUAAAUUAAAUAGGGUAUUUGCUUCCUCUUCAAUCUAUCUUUCAUCCUCUAUACUCAUUUCUUUUGAAUAUUUUUGAUGAUUUCACAUUUUAUUUCAACUCAAUUUCUCUAAAUUCUCUAUAUCAUUUUGUCAUGUUUGAUUCAUACAUGGAAAAAUGAAUAUUUUUGUGUCUCAUUUUUUUUUUAAAUCGAGAAAUCCCCCUCGACAAGUGGUGCAAGGCAUGAAACUUUGGUAUAUAAUAGGCCCGUUCUAUUACAAACUGAUAAGCAUUUUGUAAAGUAUUAACUAUAUCUUUCUGCAUUUUGAUCGGCAUGAGUAGGCUAUCAUUGUCUGCAUUUUCAUCAAUAUUAUUUAUUCUAUCAGCCAGUUGAUCUACAUCUUCUUUCAGUUCAUUGGUGCGUCUCCAUCUUCAUCGUCAUUUCUAUUCAUUGGCGUCUCCAUUUUGAUCAUGAUCCCGUUCAUUAACACCUACAUCUUGAUCAGCAUUUUGCUCAAUAGCGCUUCCAUUUUGAUCAUGAUCCCGUUCAUUUUCACCUCCAUCGUGAUCAUCAGGAGCCUGUCCAUUAGCGCCUCCAAAGAGAAAAUUAAGCAACGUUACAUCAUUCCAGUAAAUAAGCUUGUCCCUGCAGCAAAAUACUUAUCUGAAUUAACACCUUACAAGUCAUGUGUAGAGUCUCAAUUUGCAAACUCUUAAUUAGAAACUUACAAUCUCAUAUAGAAUCGUCCUUCUCUAUAAUACCUAGACGGUUGGGAAACUACACAAAUAUUAUUACAAAAUAGGUAUCACAAGUGCCAAUAAUCAUUGCUUUUCUUUUCUUAAAUACAUCUUGAUUCAAAGCACAUUCAUAAAAAUUGGAAUUUAUGAAAUAUUUACUUCUCAAAAAGUAGUAAUAUCACCCUUUUCAUGAAUUGGAGCACGAGUGCAUGUUAUUAGAAUGUAGCUAUUUGACAUGAUUGUAAUACCAUGACAAGAUUAAUUUUUUUUCUUUUACAAAAAUAAUACUACUCUGUUUCAUAAUACUUGAUUCUUAUUGAUCCGACACGUCUUUUUAAAAAAAUUUAAUUUGAAGUAUAUUUUAUCAAAAUAACUUUAUUAAUGAUAUUUUAGAACUCUAAAUUUAACUAGUAUUAUUUUAUGUAGUUAUUUAGAACUCUUAAUGUACUAGGAAAGUUUUAACUGACUCAUAAUUUCUUUUUUCAUAAAAGUUUAAAGGUGGAACUCAUCAGCAAACAUCUAAAAUUGACACGAUUUUUCACUUAAAUACCUCAAGUAAGCAUUGCACAUUUUAAACUCCCGUAUAGUAAGGCUCUACUAGCUUGAUGCUGGUCGAGCGAACCCCUUGCCCCACCAUGUCCACUAAAUAAAAUAAUUAGAAUCAAAAUCCUUGAAAUACGACAAUAUAUAUUUGGAGAAUUCAAAUAACUAAUUCUACAAGUGUUGGAAUAUUUGUCUAGUCAACUCACGCUUACACCAAAUAAAUAGGAAAACUGGAGGAACUUCAAGCACCAGGGUUUCGUGGUGUAGUUGGUUAUCACGUCAGUCUAACACACUGAAGGUCUCCGGUUCGAGUCCGGGCGAAGCCAUUUUUCCGAUAUGUUAAAAGGUUACCAAAUAAUUACAUAUACCAAAUGUAUGUAGCUAGUAAACUAGCUCUUAAGCUUUUAGGCAGUAAGUAGUACCUCACUGCUUGUGCACCCUACAUAUUUAUUGGAUCGAUCUCUACCAGAACAAUAACGUAUCUGUAUCUGUAAAUUAUAAUACACUACUAAAUACACACAGCUUUUAUCUCUACCAGAACAAUAACGUAUCUGUAAAUUAUAAUACACUACUAAAUACACACAACUCAAAAAGCUGUGAUUUCAAAUUAAACGGAUACCAAGCAUAGCCAUAUUACAAAAUAACAAGAUGGUUUUAACUUUUUUCUCAAACAUUUGACAAAUCCCAAACAUAAAGAAGAAGUGGAUUAUGUUAUCUGUUGUUAAAUCAACUUCAGGAUUUGAGCGAAAACUGAAAACCAUUACAUCCAAAAAAUUUAAUAGUCUCUGUUAAUCCAACUUCACCAUAUAGCAAAACAUCAUCUUUCCCAAUACUAAAGUUCAGUAGCAUUUACUGCCAAGUGUCAAGCAAAAUAUAAGGAAAUAGAUCAGUAAUCUCAUAGUAGCUUUUAACUGGUUAGUAGCUUUUAACUGAUUGAUUAUUCUCAAAUGCUUGACAGAUGGCUAGUAUCAAGAAAUUAAAAACAAACUAAGCAGCAUACAGAGAAUAGUAGUACUGCAAUCUCAAAACAGAAUAUCACACAAUUAUGGAAUUAGCAUUUUGUGUAAUUAUGAAGUCUAGUUACUCUACUCAGAAAGUGUAUAUCUUUCUGCAUUUUGAUCAGCAUGAAUAGGCUAUCAAUGUCUGCAUUUUCAUCAUUAGUUGGUUCAUAUUAUCUAUUCCAUCAGCCAGUUGAUCAACAUCUUCAUUCAGUUCAUUGGGGUGCCUGCAUCUUGAUCAUCAUUCUGUUCAUUAGCUUCUUCAUGUUGAUUAUCAUUUUGCUCAGCAGCACCUACAUCUUGUUCAUCAUAAACCUGUUCAUUAGCAUCUCCAUAUUGAUCAACAUUUUUCUCAGUAGCAACCACAUCUUGUUCAUUAGGAACCUGUUCAUCAGUGCCUCCAUCUGGAUCAGCAGCACCUACAUCUUGCUCAUUAGGACCCCGUUCAUUCGCAUUUCCAUCUUGAUCAGCAUGUUGCUUGUUAGUGCCUCCAUCUUGAUCAGCAUUUUGAUCAUUAUCGUCUGCUAAACCUUGUUCCCCAUUUAAAAGAAAUAGUGGUACCCCGCAUAAAAGGAACAACGGUACACCAUUCCAGGAACUACUAGUCAUACUGCAUAUAUAUGUGUAGAGUCUCAAUUUGCAUAAUUUUAUUUAGAAACUUACCAUCUCAGACAGAAUCUUCCUUCUCUAAAUAACAUGAAGUGUUGGGGGACUGCAAUCUUCGGAAAUCAUUAAUUCAGAAUUUAAUAAAAAGAAGCAGCAAAUCUGUCUUGUUCAUCAAAAUCAAAUGCUCUUUAAUAUUAGUAUCUUACAAUUUGACACCCGAGCAGCAUUCCACAUUUGGCAGAGUUUAUUUCGGCUGUGGUAAGUCCAUGUAUCACAGGAUCAUCAGUCACGUCGUCAGAUACUCUUAAACAUUAAACCUGCAUAUAUAUAUAAAGGCUAGUAACGUUUGCAAUAAUACAUAUCCAAGUUGCUGAAAUAUUCAAUUUUCAGAAUUGCAUGAAGUCAUGAAACUUACACUCUAGCAAAGACCACUAUUGGAAAACGGGAUAGCACCUGCAAAGUGUACAAGACAAGAAAGUUAGCAUAAUAAAAUGUUCUGUGCUUAGUCAAGAAAUAUAACUAUGCUAAAUUAAUCGCAAUUCAUGAUACUAUCGUCUUUAUGAAAUCAGAAGUAAUUUCAUCAACAGAUAUAUUAUAGAACAAAAAACAGAAAAAUGGCUGGGAAUUAGAAAAGAAAUUAACGAGAAUCCAAGGAAAGUGAAAAAUGGCUGGGAAUUAGAAAUGCAGAGAGACUGAAUUUAAUGGGAUAUUUGAAGGAUAAAAUGCAGAGAAGAGAAUGUUAAUAUAGAAAACUCAGUUCUUGAUUCUUGAAUCCAAGCUCUGUAUUUACCGUUAAAUUCAGAAAGGAGGGAAUUUUGAAAGAUAAAAUUUCUUUUUUAUUUUUCCCCUUAAGAAGAAGUAUUACAACUUACCCUCCAAAAUUAUUUUCUUUUUAACUUUAUCGUGUUUUAAACGUACAUAUAUAGAAUACCAUUAUGUUUCCGUUUCUUUUUUCUUUACUUACGAGAAACACAGUUUAUAUCUUAAUAAUGUUAUUGUUAUGUGAAUUUCUAUGGUAAAACACAGUUUACUGAGCCACCUGAGACUGAAGCUUUAAUUUUAGGAUUUCUUUUAACAAGUCAGGAUCCGAUUCGUUACUCCAGAAAUAUAUUUUCUGCUUCCUCGUUUCCUUGGCCUAACGUUAACAUGAUUUGCUUAUAUCUAGACUGCAGUAGCGACUUUUGCGAAAAGGUAUACCGUGAUAGAAGAAAUGGCUUUCUCUAAGAUAUACAAUAAACAGACUAGCAUUCUCUGUCAAGCAACUAACAAAAACAAUUGCAUAGCAGUAUUCAGUGACUUUUAAACUAUAGAUUAUUGUCGAAUGCUUGAAUGCUUGACAGAUGACUUGCAUCAAGAAAUUAAAGACAAUCUAAGCAGCAUAUAGAGAACAGAAGUGCCUGAGCUCAAACAUGUAAAAGUUCAUAGAAAUUAAAGAAAAACUAAGCAGCAUAUAGAGAACAGAAGUGCCUGAGCUCAAACAUGUAAAAGUUCAUAGAAAUUAAAGAAAAACUAAGCAGCAUAUAGAGAACAGAAGUGCCCGAGCUCAAACAUGUAAAAGUUCAUUGUCAAUCGCUUUUCUCCAAAAUGAAGUAAUAAUAUGUACUAUAAUCCCCAAAACCAAAAAAAAAAUAUCACACUGUUCUGAGUUAAUAUUUGUAUGCAUGAACUCUAGUGACUCUACCAAAUGGAAGUGUAUUCUUCGUAAAUCAUCAUAAGCUGGUUUUGCAGCAUCAGUAGGCUAUCCAUGUCUGCAUUUUCAUCAAUGGUUGGUUCAAAUGUUUUGAUUUAGAUCAAAAUUGUCAAUUCCCUCAGCGAUAUCUACAUCUUGAUUAGGAACUUGUUCAUUAACGCCUCCAUCUUGUUCAUUAGCACCUCCAUCCUGUUCAUUAGCGCCUCCUUCUUGUUCAUUAGGAACCUGUUCAUUAGCUCCUCCAUCUUGAUCAGCAUUUUGCUCAUUAGCACCUAAAUCUUGUUCAUUAGGAACCUGUUCAUGAUCGCCUCCGUCUUGAUCAGCAUUUUGUUCAUUAGCGCCCAAAUCUUGAUCAUUAGAAGCCUCAACUUGUUCCUGGUAACGCUGAAGCAAUGUUACUUCAUCCCAGUAAAUAAGCUCGUUCCUGCCACAAAAUACGAAUCAUUUACAACGUUACGUCUUACAAACCAUAUCACUUAUGCGUAGUUUCCAUUUUGUAAAAUUUUCAGAAACUUACAAUUUCAUCACGAAUCUUCAUUCUUUAUAAAAACCUGGACGGUUGGGUGACAGCAAUCUGGAGAAAGGAUAAAGUCUGUAUAAGCAAAACAAACAAACCAGGAACUGCAAAAUUGUCUUAUUAAUGAGAAUGAAAUGCUCUUUAAUAUUAAUAUCUUACAAGUUUCCACCCAAGCUGGUUUCCACAUUUGACACAGUAAACAUCGGCUCGGGUUUGGCCAUCUAUUACUUCAUGAUACGGCUCUUCCUCAAACAUUAAACCACAGAAAUUCCAAUUUCCAAAAUUGGAUGAAAUCAUGUGACUUACACAUUAUGAAAGAUCCCAUGUAGCACUAAGACCCAUUGUAGCACUAAGGAUGGCAACUGCAAAAUGUACAAGACGAAAAUUAAACAGAGUUGCUGAAUUAAUCACGAAGAGCUGUCGAAAUUAUGGGAUUGAAUCUUACAUCAUAUCCUCUUCAUGAAAUCAGUAGCAUUUCAUCAAAACAUACAAAAUGUUUUUAUGUACGAUUCAGAAAAUUAUCAUUCAAAAUUAUACUAUAUGUGGAAUCACAAGAAAAACUCAGAACAUACAACAUGACAUACUACAAAUGUAGAUUCAGAGAGAGUGAGAAUCCUUACCAAAGUAAGGAUAUUCUCGAUGAAUGCAACUCGAAUUUCGUACCUACGACAAAAGAUGCAAUCAGUAGCCUGGAUUUCGUCGUACUCAAGUAUGAAGGGCCUUCCCAUUGUAUCAACUUUGUGAAUCAAGGCCCUGUUACGUUGCACAAUAAAUUUUCUUCAACAAAGUGCAAGAGAAAUAUCAAAUUUGAGAAUUCAAGAAAGUGCAAAAUGGAAAUGAGAAGAGAAUGUCAAUAUAGAAAAGUUGGUUCUUGAUUCUUGAAUCCAAGUUAUGUAUUUACCGUUAAUUCAUGUAGGAGGGAAAUUUGAAAUAUCUUCACAUUAACCCCUAUUUAACAAUUUCCUUUUUCUAUUUUAUUUUUUACAUAUUGUUCAAUUUACCCUCCACAAAUUAUAUAUUUUUAAAUUGUAGUGUGAAUUUCGAUCUCAAAAAAUCAGAAACUUUGCUCAAUGAAAGAUGAGUAAUGGGUGCAAUUAGAGGUGAUAAAAUUAGCCACGAAAAUAUCACACUCAAUUCAUUCGAAAUGACCCGCUUAGUAGUUAUUAGCUUGGUGCAUUAAAAAUUGAACGACAUGGCCUAAACUAACUCAUGAUAAAUCUUAUCAAAUAUUUUCAAAUAAUAUCUUUUUAAUUGAUGUAUUAUAUACCGUCAUGAUAAAAAAUAAAAAAAAUUAUUAUGUACUAAAAAUUAUAAAAUAAACAAAUAAAGUAAUUAAAACACAGUAUGAAUUGAGCGAAUCGGAUUUUGACCCGAAUUUUAAUCCAUUUCAUUUCCAAGUAACUUUUAAGCGGGUCAAUAACCUACUCAGUUAUUAACUCAAUCUAUUUUAAUCCACUCGAAUUCAGCUAAUCCAUUUGACAACUCUAGAUGCAAACUAGAGACUAACUAGCACAAUGGGGAACUGAGGGUGCAACACUGCAACUUGCCCUUUGUAUCAUAAUGAUAAGGGUGUCAAACGGGCCGGCUUGGCCCAGCCCGACCCGGCCCAUGUAACUAACUCAAGCCGGUUUGACCCGGCCCGAUCAGUCCACGGGCUGUAGGAUACAGGAUACUGGGCUGAGUUAUUUUUUGUUUUGGGCUCGAUUAACCUGGCUCGGACCAAACCCGGUCCGAGCUUGUCGGUUAACCGGCCCGAAACCUUUUUUUUAUAUUAAAAAAAAUGAUUUCUGCAUAUUGGGCCAAUUUGACCGUUGGGCCCAACGGCUAUAUUACCGUUUGGGCCCUAAAAAUGGCUAAUUGGCCUAAUUUAAAAAAAAAUCAAUUAAAAUAUUUUUUAAAACUCAAAAAAAAUCAUAUAAAUACCCUACACUUUCAAAUCAUUCUCCAAACAAUUUUCAUUCUCUCAACUCUCAAUUCUCAAAUAUUCUAUAUAUUUCCUAAAGUUCUUACUUUAAUUUUUAAAUUUUGCGAUUACAAAGUACGAGUAGAAGUUUCUAAAGUCGCAACCUUCAAAUACUUCCAAAAUUUGGUAUUGUCGUUCAUCUCUUACGUUUAAUUUUUAAUUAGUGUAUUAAUUGUUGAAUAUUUAAUUUUAUUAUAUUUGUGUAUUUUGAAUUUUUUUAGUUUAAUUUAUAUUAUGGAUAAAUUAAGAAACCUCGCCACUAAAGGUGUUAAAAUUUUUUGUCUCGGAAGUGGUAGUGGUAGUAAAAAAUGAAUUACUAGCGGUAGAGGUACUUCAAGUAGUAGAUAUACCUGUGUGCCUCUGCCUCCGGUACCGCUUAGUCAACCUUUUGAGGAAGAAAUAGGUGUAGGUGCUCACGAUAUGGAUCAUGUUCAAGCUGGGAAAAAUUAUGGUAUAGAAGAAGAAAAUGAAGUAGAUGCGGUUAAUUUAGAUGAAGAUGAUGAAAAUAUUGGUGAGACACCCACAGUAGGAAAUGCUAACGUUAGAUCUGAAUCGGUUAAUCUCCUUCCCCGUCCUCCCCGUUUCCCAAGAGCUCGUAAAAUAACUAGUAUUGCAUGACAAUUUUUUGAACGUAUAUCAGAUAUUGAGGUGCAAUACAAUAUUUGUCAACAAAUAUAUAAGCAUAAAAAAGGAGGCAAGCAAGGGGGUACGGGUACGUUAAUGAGACAUAUAAGUGAUAAUCACGAUAGAAAGUUAAAAAUUGCACAGGGUGGUGCGCAUGUUGGUGGGCCAACACAAACUAGAAUGGACCCAAAACCGGUCAGGUAAUGAAAAAAUAUAAUAAAUUGAGGGACUGGGAAGAAAUAGCUAAAAUGAUUGUUGUGGGUUGUUUGCCUUUUAGUUUUCCUUCUUCUGAUGUCUUUAUUCAUUAUAUUCAAGUAAUUUAUAAUCCUAUGUUUAAUGGUAUUCCUAGAAGUAUUUGUAGGGCCAAUAUUUUUAGACUUCAUUCACAAUAUUGUUUUUAUUUAUCAACAUUGUUAAAAAAUAUUCAAUGUAGAAUAUCCCUAACUUCUAAUGUUGGCCGUGCUGUAAAUAAAAAUGACUAUUUAACCAUUACUUGUCACUGUAUAGAUAGUAAUUUUGUUAUGCAAAACAUAUUCUUGCUUCUUUAUAUAAUGAAGAUCUUAAACAUACUGGAGAUUUUAUUGCUGAUUUGAUUGCUAAAGUUGCGGAAUUUUACGAUAUUGAAAAUAAAAUCUUAUGUAUUGCUUUUGAUAAUGCUUCUAACAACAAGACCGCUAUAACAAAGUUAAAAUUUAAGUUAUCUCCGUCGUUACCUGAAAUUUUUCAUGUUUUAAGUGUGCUUGUCAUAUAUAUAAUUUAAUUGUAAGAGAUGGUCUUGAGUUUUUUGAGCUUUAUAUUAAAAAAAUUCGGCUUGCCGUUGGUUUUAUUCAAGGAAAUAAUCGUAGAAAAAGAAUUAGAGACUUUAAACUUAAAUGUGAACAAAAUGGACUUGCACCGAUAUUGAUCUCCGAAGAAUGUGAUACUAGAUGGAAUGCUACGUAUGAUUUUUUAAAAACUUGUUAUAAAUAUAGAGUUUCUAUUACACUAUCUUUUAACCAACAUUGUGAUUCGUUUGCUGAUUCUGCCCACUACACGCUACAUGAUUCUGACUAGGCUGUAAUUAAUGAUCUUGUUAAGUUUUUAAAAAAAAAUUAUAUAGCUACGGUUGAAUUUUUCGGUGCUUAUUAUCCUAUUGUUUGUAAUAUUUUGGCAUAUAUAGCCGAUAUUUCUGGUUUUCUCGAAGAAUAUAAAAAUAAAGAAGGUUACAAAUAAGUUGUUGGUGUCAUGUUUGCUAAAUUUAAAAAAUAUUUUUUUCGAUUUCCCCUAUUUACUUGGUUGGUGUUAUACUAAUUCCGUGCAUGAAAUAUAAUACUAUGUGCCGCUUUAGUAUUCUUAUUUAUGCUAACUUAGAGAUAAAUACUAACAAUGAUUCUCGUGAUGAAGAACAAGAACAACCUGAUUUGUGGAUGGCUAUGGGGGAUGCGAAUGCUUACAUAGAUAAAUUAUAUAACCACUAUGCUGAUUUGGUUGAUUUAGCUGUACCGACAAAUAUCACUCCAACUGUCGUUCCUCAUCCUCCCGAGGAGCCAUCAUCUUCUAAAAGGCCGGCACAUAAUGGUAUUCCUGAUUUCUUUUAUGAUUUACCUUGUUGGAACAGUGUUGACGAGGGAGCUUACACAACAACUUGUCGGGAAGAGCUGAAGUAUUAUCUUCGAACACCGAUAGAGGAUCACAGACAACGGAUCAACGCGUUGGAUUGUGGAGGAAUAAUGAAACACAAUAUCCCGUGCUUUCAAGAUUAGCCAGAGAUAUCUUGAAUGUUUCAAUGUCAAUCGUUGCAUCGGAGAGCGCUUUUAGUCAGGGAUGACAGCAGCUUGGAGACAACCAACAUUCAUUGGGAAGUAAUGCAAUGAAUAUUCUAGUUUGCCUUAGAGAUUGGAUUAGAACGGAACGAAGAAAUCAAGGAAUGGAAGCGGAGCCGAACGACGAGCAGAGACUUGAAGAAAUUAUGACUUUACGGGAGAACUCAGCAGAAUCAAGUCCAAUGCAUGGUUUUUUCCCCAUUGACUUUGACUAUCCUAUGCAAGUUCCCGUUAAUAUUAACAUGAAUGAGUUGGAAAAAAUGAUGCAAAAUUUGUAGAUUUUCCAUCCAUGUAAAUUAUAAAUUUUGAAUCAUUUUGCAAUCAAUAAAAUUCAACAUUCAUUCACUCUUUAGUCCUUACUUUGUAAUUUUUUCCAUUUAAUGAUGUAAAUUGAAUUUCUAGUUUAAAUUAAAUACUUAAUUUUAAUAUAUUACUAAUUUACUAUCAAAUAUUAUUAAUUUAUUAUAUUAAGUAGCAUAUGUUUUAUUUAAAGAAGUACAUACAUUGAAUGAUACGUAUACAUGUGUAUAUGUUUUAUAAAUUAGUAUAUAUUUAACGUAUACAUGUGUAUAUGUUUUAUAAAUUAGUAUAUAACUAUAUAUUUAGUGCGUGUAUAUGUUGAAGUAUAUGUUUUAUUUAAAGAAGUACAUACGUUGAAUGGUACGUAUAUAUGUGUAUAUAUUUUCUAAAGAAGUAUAUAUUUAAUGUAUACAUGUGUAUAUGUUUUAAAAAUUAGUAUAUAUAUCAUUAUAUUGUAGUAUAUGUUUUAUUUAGAGUAGUAUAUAUAGUUAACUAACGUAUAGUCGUAUACACGAUUACAUGUGUAAUUACGUAUAUGUAUUAUGUGUAUAUAUUUUUUAAAGUCUAAUGUAGUAUAUACUAUAUAUAUAGUGUAUAUAUAUUGUUUAACAUAUGUAAAAUGUAUAUAGGUGGGUAUAUAUAGUGUAUAUUGGAGAAAAAACUUUUUUUUUGUUGUUUGACCGGUUUUGACCGGGUUUAGAUGGGUUGGACCGGGUUGGGUUAAGUGGGCCAGUUCAGGCUGUUGGCCCCGGAACCGGCCCGGCCCAUUUAACUAGGCCUGGAUCCGGCCCGGCCCACUAACCGGCUGCCGAUUUCGAGUUGACCCGGCCCGACCCACUUAGCACCCUUACAUAAUGACAAUGAGACUCUGUCACAUUUGUUACUAAACUUGCUCCAUCUCAUUGCGUGGUAUAUCAUAAUAGGCCAAUUUUUUCUGUUAGUACUUUACAAAUCAUAUAGCAUAUGCGUAUGGAGGGGCUGCAGCCAAAAGUACAGGAUGUCAUACAGGUUCAUAUAGUACUUUCUUCAUUCUUGUCAAUUAGUAGAGGUUCAUUUCCUUAGGAUUGGCAAGGUAACGCCUAGCCCUCUCUAAGAAUUAUACAGAACUCCAAAAGCAGUAAACUUGAGUGCUUGUGCACCCUUCAUCUUUAUUCUGGAUGUCAUACAGAACUCCAAAAGCUGUAAAUAUGCUUCAUGUAGCAGAUUUUUAGAUGUCAAACUAAAUAAUACACGGAUAGCCUUUUUCUAAGGCCACCCUCCAGUACUAGCGUUAGCCACAAGGCAGCAUAGAGAGAGCCUUUCAGCAUCUCGGAAAUUGUUUGCGCAUCGCCAUAUUACAAGAUAACAAUAUAGUGGAUUGUGCCAUCUGCUCAUAAAUCAACUCCAGGGUGAUAAUACAAGCCAUCAGAUAAACAAUUUUCAAAUAUAUGUGUUGAGAUUGAACUUUACCACAUACUGUAAGAAAAAACAAACUAAAGUUCUCUAGCAUUUACUGUCAAGCAACAUCCAAGGAAGUAUAGUUGACUUGCUUAAGGAAACUAAAAGAUAAACUAAGCAGUAAACAGAGAAAGUAUGAACUCUAUUCAGAAACUGUGCAUCUUUCUGCAUUUUGAACAGCAUAAGUAGGCUAUCAUUGUCUACAUUUUUAUCAAUAUUAUCAAUUCCACCAGCCAGUUGAUCUACAUCUUCCUUCAUUUCGCUGGCACGCUUCCAUCUUGAUCAUGAUUCUGUUCAUUAGCAUCUCCAUCUUGAUCAGCAUUUUGCUCAUUAGCGCCUCCAUCUUGAUCAGCAUUUUGCUCAUUAGCGCCUCCAUCUUGUUCAUUAGGAUCCUGUUCAUUAACGCCUCCAACUUGAUCAUUAGGGCCUCCAUCUUGUUCAUUAAUGCCUCCAACGUGAUCGUUAGGGCCUCCAUCUUGUUCAUUAGGAACCUGUUCAUUAAUGCCCCCAUCUUGAUCAUAAUUCUGUUCAUUAGCAUCUCCAUCUUGAUCAGCAUUUUGCUCGUUGGCGCCACCAUCUUGAUCAGCAUUUUGCUCAUUAGCACCUCCAUCUUGAUCAGCAUUUUGAUCAUUAGCGUCUAAACCUUGUUCCCCGUCUAAAUUAAACAACGGUACCCCAUCUAAAAGAUUCAACGGUGCACCAUUCCAGGAACUAAUCGUGUUCCUGCCACAAUAUACUUAUCUUUAUUAAAACUUACUAGUCAUACUGCAUAAGUGUACAGUUUCAGUUUGCAUAUUUUUAAUUAGAAACUUACAAUCCCAGACAGAAUCUUCCUUCUCUAAAUAACACGAAGUGUUGGGGUACAGCAAUCUGCGGAAAUCAUUAAUUCAGUAUUUAAUAAAAGAAGCAGCAAAUCUGUCUUGUUCAUCAAAAUCAAAUGCUCUUUAAUAUUAGUAUCUUACAAGUCGACACCCGAGCAGCAUUCCACAUUUGGCACAGUUAACUUUGGCUGUGGUAAGUCCAUAUAUCUCAGGAUCAUCAGUCACGUCGUCUGAUAUUCUAACAUUAAACCUGCAUAUAUACAAAGGUUUGUAACGUUUGGGAUAAUACAUACCCAAGUUGCUGAAAUCAUAUGAAAUCAGAAUCGCAUGAAAUCGUGUAACUUACACUCUAGUAAAGACCACUAUUGGAAAACGGAAUAGCACCUGCAAAGUGUACAAGACAAGAAAAUUAGUCAAGAAAUAUAACAUACAUGCUAAAUUAAUUCAAGAUUGUCCUGAAUUUGUUUGUAUACCAUUUGGUGUAUUCAUAAAUAAAUUGAUUUCUGCGCGAAGCAGAGAGAGUGAGAAUCCUUACGAUAAAAUCGAUAUCGUAGACGAGAGCAAUAUGAUUUCUGCACUGACGACAGUAGAUGCAAUAUCGAGGACGGAUAUAAUUGCAUUGAUUAAAAAGUCGACUGCUCAUCGUAUCAACUUUGUUGAAUCAAAAAAAUGGCUGGGAAUUAGAAAGACUAACUUCAAAAUAUCAGAAAAUCGAAGACAGACUAACUUCUCACCAGAAAAGCAUUAACGAGAAUUCAAGAAAGUGAAAAAUGGCUGGGAAUUAGAAAUGCAGAAAGACUGAAUUUAAUGGGAUUUUUGAAGGAUAAAAUGAAGAGAAGAUAAUGUUAAUAUAGAAAACUCAGUUCUUGAUUCUUGAAUCCAAGCUCUGUAUUUACCGUUAAUUAAAAAAGGAGGGAAUUUUGAAAGAUAAAAUUUCUUUUUUAUUUUUCCCCUUAAGAAGAAGUAUUACAAUUUACCCUCCGAAAUUAUUUUCUUUUUAAUUUUAUCCUGAUUUAAACAUAUAUGCACCGACUUAAAAAUUAAAAUUGUAUAGAGAAUAGAAUAUCAUUAUGUUUCCGUUUCUUUUUUCUUUACUUACGAGAAAUAAAGAUUAUAUCUUAAUAAUGUUAUUGUUGUGUGAAUUUUUAUAGUAAAAAAUGUAUUUGUAUCGAGUAUUUAAAUGACUGAUAUAAUAUUUACAACAACAAUAACAUAUUCAGUGUAUUCUCACGUAGUGGGGUCUGGGGAGGGUAAAAUGUACGCAGUCCAUACCAUUACUAGAGAAGUUGUUUCCGAUAGAUCCCCUCGGGACAAAAAGACAGUAAUUAAAGAAGUAAUAAAACAUGAAACAAGGUGAACUAACCAAAAUAAAACACCCACAAAAUAUUACUAUACACUAUCAAACCAAAAUCACGCACCUAACCCAAACCCUCCUAGCUAGAAACUUCAAUCUAUGCACAAAGCCCCAUGAUACUAGCAAGGCUACACCCACACGCAACCCUCUAACCUAAUUUGUAUCCUUCAUACCUUCCUAUCUAGGGUCAAGUUCUCGGUAAGUUGUAACUGCUCCAUGUCACGUCUAAUCACCUCUUCUAGUAUUUCUUCGGUCUACCUCUACCCCACCUAAAAUCAUCCAAUGUUAAUCCCUCACGCCUACGAAUUGGCGUCUCAAUGCCCCUCUUCAUAACAUGUUUGAAUCAUCUCAACCUCACUUCCCGCAUUUUGUCCUCCACCGAAGUCACUCCCACCUUUCCCGAAUAGUCUCAUUCUGAACUCUAUCUCCCCUAGUAAGUUCACGCAUCCAAUACAACAUCCUCAUAUCUGUCACCUUCAACUUUUGGAUGUGCGAGUUCUUGACUGGUCAAUACCCGCUCGAUACAACAUAGUCGGACGGAUUGCCACUCUAUAGAAUUUUUCUUGUAGCUAGGAGGGCAACUUCUUAUCACACAAAACUCUCGACACAAGCCUCCAUUUCAUCUACCUUGUCCUAAUAAAUAAUUUGGUUUCAUAUUGAAGCGUUCAACUAAAUAGGCAAUUCAUCUUGUAAGAAAUUUGAUCGAGCAGUGUAGAGAAAGGAAGAUUGACUUAUAUAUGGUGUUCAUCGACCUAGGAAAAAGCAUACGAUAAUAUCCUUAAUGUACAUGUAACUGUUGGGUUCAAUAUGUAUGAAAAAAGCGUAAAUGGAAAAUUGAGGGACACAACCUUUGAGGAAAAGACAUAUUGUUUUGGAAAAGGGGUGACUAUUCAGAUAGUUGUGUCUGUUCAAAAAAAGACACAAUGUUUCGAAUGAACAGACAUGACUCUUCCAAAGGAUACACCUUUUCAGAUGAACCAUUGCUACCUUUAGGAAGGGGCACUUGAUGGCUAUAUAAACCUGCAUUUAUCCACAGGUUUAGGCAUGAAAAAUUUUCUGAAUAUACAAACUCUUCUUGUCUUUAAAACAUUCUGUGUGAUCAAUCAAACUGUUGAGUGAGUUCGUUGAAUCCAACAAUUUGAGGUACCGCUAUUAUUCGGAUUGAAGGGGAUUUUAUCCUAGGAGGAAGAUUCCAUAACCUCGGGUACAGUGAGGAGAAUUAUUCCUUAAUGACACUCCGUGAAGUCGGGGGACUUGGCCUUACAAAUUCUAUUUCAUCUAUUUUCUGAAAAUAAACACACUUCUUAGAUAGAUUAUUCAUAAUCUAGUGCUGAAGGUGUUAAGUAACUUCAAAAGUGUUCUUGUCUUGGAGUUGAACUAAAGUUGAAGUUGGUGUUACAUGUAUACAGAUUUUUGUACCCAAACACCACAAAACUACAGUAACUUACAUUAAGGCGAUAAAGAUAUGUCUGGUGGAGUCAAGAUCCGAGUGAAUACGAUUGAAGGAGACUCAAAACACUUUCCUAUCUUGAUGGGGUUGCACCACGAUUCAGCUCAUAGUUUGUUUUAAUUUAUUAUGGUGAUGAAUGAACUAAUGUUGCACAUCGGGGAGGGGGGAGUAGCAUGAUGUAUGUUAUUUGCAAAUGAUAUAGUGUUGAUGAGAUUAGCGACAAGUUAACGAUGGACUGAAGAUUUGGAGACCAACUCUAAAAUCUGAAGGGUUCAAAUUUAGCAGACUAGAGAUUUGACAGUUCUUUUUCACGUUCAUACAUUUUCUAUUUUUUAAAGUUAAAUUGGUUGUCGAAUACCAUCCUUCUUCUUGGUAAACAAAAAUCAUUAAACUAAAUUUUUGUGUACUUUAAUUUAUAAUAAUGAAAUAAGAUUUAAAUGUCAAGUGGUAGUAUUACUACUAUUAAUAAGAGUGAAAAACAGGCAGCACUUCGUCAACAUGACUGCUUCUUCACCUGUUUCAGUUGCUUCGUGAUUUUACUAUAUUAUCCCUAAUUAAUUAUUUUAACUUAUUUAUAUAUAAGAAAUAUAAUAAUACUUAAUUAAAAAAAAAAAAAAUAGACAUUUAUGACAUGUUUGUUUCAGCUGCUUUAAUUGUAGUUUUAUUUUAUCACCUCAAAUUAAUUAUUAUUUCUUACGCCCUUUCUGUUAUGUCAUACAUCCCCUUGUUUACUAUUCUUUACAUUGAGUCAGGGGUCUCUCGGAAACAACCUCUCUACUUAUUCGGAGGUAGCAGUAUGGAUUACGUACAUCUUACCCUCCCCAGAUCCUACUUUGUGGGAAUACACUGGGUUUGUUGUUGUUGUUGUUGUUGUAUCCAAGUAUUAAAAAAAUAAUAAUAUUUAAUAAAUAAUAAAAUAAAUAUAAAUGAUAAAUCAAUUCUUGAUGUUUUAAAUUAAUAGGACAUCUUAUAUGAGACUUAUUUUAAAAAAUUCACAAGUAUGUUUGCUCCAUGAUUUUACUAUAUUACCCCUAAUUAAUUAUUGUAAGACAUUUACAUAUAAUAAAAUUAAUAAUAUUUAAUAAAAAAAUAAAAUAGACAUUUAUGACAUGUCUACUUCAGCAGCUUCAACCGUAAUUUUACUAUAUCACCCUUAAUUGAUUAUUAUAAGUCAUUUAUAUAUUUAAAAUUUAAUAAUAUUUAAUAAAAAUAAAAUUGACAUAAAAUGAUAAAUUAAUUCUUGAUGUUUUAAAUUAACAUGACAUCUUAUAUGAGACUCAUUUAAUUUUUUUCACAAAUAUUUUCUCAUAAUAGUUUUUCUAUAUCACCUCUAAUUAGGUAUUAUAAGUUAUUUAGGAUAUAUCCACUUCGGUGCUUCAAUCAUUAAAUUUGGUUGACUCUCGAAUUUAUUUUAGUGCUACUUAAAUUGGAAUAGAAGAAAAAGUAUUAUAAAUCAUAAUAACUAAAAACUUAAAUUAUUUUAAGAAUAUAACUGAAUAUCAAUGCCACAAAAAUUUGAAUAAGGAGAGUAACACAUAUUAUUUGAAAAUUACAUAAAAAAAUAUUAUAAUUUACAAUAGCUAACAAUUUAAAAUAUUUAAAAACACAUUAAGAAUCUUAUUGAUUAUCUAAAUUAUGUUUGUGUCACGUAAAUUCGAGAUAGUCUUGACAUUUUAUAAUUUGCAUGUUUUAUUGUUUUAAUUUAGUAAUUUGUUGAUCCAAAUGAUGUUUUCAAAUUUAACAUGUUUUAAAAAAUUAGUACUUUGUUUAUUUUAAUUUAUUUACUUUAUUUUGGUAAAAUAUUAUAUAUUUAAAAAUUAUGCAAAAAAAAAAUUAUAAGUCAUAACUAUUAACAUCUUAUAAUAUUUUAAAAACAUAUAGUAAAAAAUAUGAUUUACUUUUGAAAUUCUAAUAGUGUCACAUAAGUUGCGAUAAAGCAAGUAAUAUAAAUUAUUUGAAAUUUCAUUAAAACAUACUAAAAUCACAAAGAUUAACAACUUCAAAUAUUUAAAAAAAUAUAUUAGUAAAAAAAAUUGAUUGACUCACUAAAUUCUAAUAUUGGGACAAAGCAAGUAACAUAAAUUACUAAAUUACAUAAAAGAUACUAUAAAUCACAAUGAUUAGCAACUUAAAUUAUUUAAAAAUUUUAUAUUAAUAAAAAUUUGAUUGACACUACUCCAAAAACUAUUUAUAUUAUAUAAAUUGAGAUAACGUAAAUAAUAUAUAUUAGGAGUGGAUGGAAGAAAUGAAGGGUCACCUUUUUUAUUUGAAAUUCUUGUAAUGUGACAAAACAUUUUUUUCCUUUUACUAGAAUACCAACUCUAUCCCGUAUUACUAUAUUGUUUUAUUUCCUAUUACAUAUCUUUUAAAGAAACUAGGAGAUUAUUUUUACCAAUUUAACAUUUAACUCUUUUUAUACUAUAUUAUAUUUACCUUCUUUAUCCAUCAAUAUAAAAAUUAACAAUGAAAAACUUUCUUGAAACUCUGCAUAAUUUUAUCUUAAUUUUGUAAAUUAAUAAAUAAUUUGAAACAUGUCGUAUCACUUGGGAUUUGACUAUCACUGGGGGUUUUUCAGUAAAAUCAUGUAGCACAGCUCUAGAAAGUGCAUACGACGCAAAUUCUCAAAACAAUCUUAUACCCAGAACCUAAUCUCCUUUAUUUGGAUUUGAAAACUUUGGAUCCCUCCGAAAUUAAAAUAUUUUCCGUGGCUCCUGAAUCAUGGACGAAUAACUAACUCUAGCUUGCUAUACCAUAUUAAAGUUGUAGAUUCUCCUAUGUGUAGGCUUUGCAAUACAAUGGCUGAAGAAACAAACGCUCGCCCUUUCGUCCUUUGUCCAAAGGUUGCACCAAUAUGGACUGGGUUUAGUGUCAUGCAUCAGCUGAGCACUCUUGUAUCAACUGAUACUCACCCGUCCCGAUGGUUACAUGAUCUAAUCCACCACUAUUUAAACCCCUCCGAAGGGGUGUGGUUACGCACACCCUCUAAGAUCUACAUGGCUUUUUGCAUCUGGCAUAUCUAACUUGCACGAAAUAAAUUCAUAUUUGAAAGUAUUCUCUUUUUACCGUCUUUAAAGGACGUUUCACAAAUGGCCGAGGAAUUUCGGUUCCUAGUAGGCCUUACGGGGGAAAACUAAGAUUUCAAUGGAUCCGAAGGGGCACACCCCCCCCCCUCCCCCCCCCGCGCGCAAGCAAACUGCAUGCUUAAUACUGAUUGUGCUUCUGAGACCUCAUCUACAAAUCAACAUUAACUCGGCCUAGGUGGUGUUUUCUGGAACUAUAAGGCGGAAUGGGUAUUAGGCUUUCAUGGAACCUGCGCUGUUACAGAUGUCCUGGAAGGAGAAACUUACGCUCUGUUAUUAGGACUCCGGUUUGUUUAUCAGAACAACCUUUUUCCACUGGAAAUUGGGAUAGACUCUCAACAAUUAGUCCGACUACUUGAUUCUAAUACAUAUCCGAAUUUAACUUUGAUAUCUGACUCAACUUUAAUAUCUGAUUAUAGGUACCUCCUGGGCGCACUAGAUAAUCGUCAACUGCACCACUUUUUCAGGGAACAGAAUAGGCUAGCUGACAGAUUGACAAGAUUACCUAGUACAAUCUCUACUACUAUGUUGUUUUGGACUCCACCACAGUCACUCAGUGACAUUUUGUAUGCCGAUAUAAAUGGAGUAUUAUUAGUUAGACAGUUGAACACUUUAACUGUUCACCCAAGCGUGUAUUAUAUUAGUCCCAUACAGGAUUUCAAGGGCUCCUACUUCUACUACCACACUUGUGACUCGAUCACAACUAGACUUGUAAAUGUUUUUGUGUUAUAAAUAAAACUCUGCCUGUUUCACCAAAAAAAAAAUCGUACGAACUAAAAAAUUUCUACGUUGCCUAGACCUAUUAUCAUGGCAAAAUGACCUUCUGGACCCUUGUACUAUGUCGAUUUUGUAAGUUAGAUACUUCUACUUAUAUGUUUGUCAUCUGGACCCCUGAAUCCACUAAAAAACAACAUUUUAAAUCCUUUUUUGGUGAGUGUAAUGCACUCUUUCCACGUCAGCGGCCACGCCUGCCUCAUUUGCCACGUUAUUUAAAAAAAUAAAAAAAUAGAAAGUAUUAUAUUAAAUUUCAAGUCAUUUUUAAAAUGCUAAAUAACAAAUUAAAUAUUAAAAUUAACUUAAUUAAAUAAGAAAAAUUUAUAAUUGUAGAAAAAUUUGAAUAAUCAUGUUUUUAUUUUUGCUCACAAAUUAAACAUCAAAUUCAUUCCAAAUAAUUAAAAUUCUUUUCGAACUAAUUUAAAUUUUGAAUUAUAAAUUCAUAUAUACAAACAUAAUAAAAUUUUGAUUUUUAAAUUUGAAUAUCUUUAAAAAAUUCACAAAAAGUUUAAUUUUUUUCAAGAAAAAUUCACUAAUUUUUUAAAGUAUUCACUAUCACUCAUUUUCAAUUCAAAUUUAAAUUUUAAUAAUAAUAAAAAAGAUUUCAAAUUUAAAUUUUUAUUCAAAAAAAUGAAAAGAAUUGAAUUGAGGGAAAAUUAAAAUAAAAAAUAAAAAGUAAAGAUGGUGGUAGGAAGGGGUGUUGGAAGAGUGUUGGGGUAGGGUGUGGGGUUGAAAAGGACUAGGAUGGGGUGGAGAUAGGGCUAGGAGAAGUUUGGGGGCUGGAGGUGGGGUUGGAAGGGGCUGGACUAAGAUAAUGAGGUGUGUGGGUGGGGAUAGGGCUGGGGUGANNNNNNNNNNNNNNNNNNNNNNNNNNNNNNNNNNNNNGGGGCGGGGAGGAAAAAAAUAAUUUUAUUUUAUUUUAACUUUUAAAAAAUAAUUUUAAAUUAUCUUAAAAUUCUAUUUUUUUAAAAAAAAAUUUAAAAAUAUUUUAAAAUUAUUUUUAAAUUUUUCAAAAUAUUUUUAAAUUAAAAAGGAUGGAGGAAAAAAAAGACCCUUUUUAAUUUUUUUUAAUUUUAAUAUUAUUUUUUAAAAUUAUUUUAAUGUAAAAUUGGCCUCCACUCGCACCAUCAGGCGAGUGGCUACACUCUAUUUGUCAUAGUCACCAUUUCAAUGCCACAUAGGCAAGAUCAACGGUCAAAUAGUGCAAAAUAUUAUGUUUUAAUGGGUACAAGGGUCCAGAUGACAAACAUAUAAGUAGAAGUGUCUAAAUUACAAAAUCGACAUAGUAAAGGAGUCCAAAAAGUGAUUUUGCCUAUUAUAAUCCCUAGAUCUUGUUUCACAUGGAUCCUAUCGCCGUCCAAUCAUAUUCAGUUUCCGGGUCUCACCCGGAUCGAUAUUUCUAUCCGUCGAUUAACAAGUAAAUCCCCAAAUAUUUAACGGCUGCGAUUGACUUCUCCAAAUCCCCCAAUUCAUUUCGAACCGGGAAAUUUACGUCGGCCCAAAUCCCCCAACUAUAAAUUACCCACCACCAUCUGCUUCAUUUCUCAUUCAAAUUCAAAACCCUAGAAUCUUUAUCUUCUUCAAAUUCGUCUCUGUGAAAAUGUCUGGCCGCGGAAAGGGAGGCAAGGGAUUGGGAAAGGGAGGAGCCAAGAGGCACAGGAAGGUUCUUAGAGACAACAUCCAGGGAAUUACCAAGCCAGCUAUUCGUAGGCUUGCUCGCAGGGGUGGUGUGAAGCGUAUCUCUGGUUUGAUCUAUGAGGAGACCCGUGGAGUUCUUAAGAUCUUUUUGGAGAAUGUGAUUCGUGAUUCAGUUACCUACACUGAGCAUGCUAGGAGGAAGACUGUUACUGCUAUGGAUGUUGUUUAUGCCCUCAAGAGGCAGGGAAGGACUCUCUACGGAUUUGGUGGUUAGAUCAGUUGUUAGUUAGUAGAUGUAGAUCUGAUGGAAAUUUCUGCUGUUUCUGUGUUUUAGUUUCUAUUUAGUGUUGUUCUACUUCUUAUGCUCUCUAGAUAUUGUAAUUUCUCAUUACAUAUUCAAUGAACAGCUGCUCAAUUUCUAGAAAUUACAAUGGUUGUUCUCCAGCUGACUAUUAUUGUUGUUAAUUGAUUGAAAUUACAUAUCCUGUUUUUGCAACCAUGGGUUUGGGUAUUCAUACAUUUGCGAAGUGCAUACAUUUUCUUUGAUUUAUGUUCUUCAUUGGUUAUUGUUUGUUCAAUUUGAAUUUUGACAAGUGCCUGCUUGGAAAUAGAAGAGAAAUCUGUUCCAACAGUGCUGCCACAUAGUAGUAGACUACCUUGUAAAGAGCUCGGCAAAUUAUGAAAGUUUGGCUCCAAGCCUACUCAACAAAAUUCCCCAGAUUUUCAUCAAUGAAAGGUGACACGAAGUAAAAAUAAAAUGAAAAAUUGACAGCCACUUGCUUUGUUGUGUUAAUUUGGAUGGCUAGGGUGUGCAUUCAAUCUUCGUUUGUUUUUCUUUGUUUUAGUAGCUGAUUGAUUACCUUCAUACUGGUCUUAGACUGUUCAAAGACUAUCUGCACUAGUGUUUUCACCUGAAGGAUUUAGGCACGUUAAAGUGUUUUCACUGAAUUAAUAAUUUAGGCAACAAGUGUUUUUGUAUGAUUGGGAUAUUUCUUUGUCUAUGCAAAUAUGCCUUGGACAUAAUUUUUGAGGCUGGAAUAUUGGGAGCCAAGCCAAUUAGCACUCCCUUGGAGAAAAUCGUAAGUUGGCACUGGUCGGGGGAGCAGACCUUACAGAUCCAAAAGAUAUUAUCGGUUGGUUGAUUGCCUUAUAUAUCUUUGUUUCACUCUACCUGAGUUAUCAUAUGCUGUGUGUAUGUGUUGUCUUAGUUCUUAUAUCAACUAAAGAGGUGAAUGGUGUUGCGACUCUAUGGGUAGUGCACUAGUACAACUCUGGAAGAAAAUAUGGUGCAGAAACAAAAUACCAGUAGAUGAUGAUGACCAUUUGUGAAUUGCAAUGGUUAAAAGUCGUCAAUAUAUAUUGUGACGGUCAAUCAACACUUCACAUUACCCAGAAUUUGAUUUUCUAUGAACUAACCAAAUUUUAGUUAAAGACACUGAACGACCCAGAAUUCAUGGCAAAACAACUUCAGGAUUUGUAUUACCGCGUUUUAGGCAGCGAUAAACUUCAUUGCUCUCAAUCAGCAGUUGCUGGACAUGUGCUCCGUAUAGCAGAAGUGGAGAUGUCAUGUUAAAUGAACACCAAACAUUGCCAUAUUACAAAAUGACAAUAUAGUGAUGCAAAAAGCAACAUGAAUAAACAAAAAGCAUAAUUUAUAAAAAUGCCCUUUUAGUUGGCCUCAUCUCGCAUCUAUGACCUCCAACUCUGCAUGUGCUUAAGUGGACCCUUAAACUUGUAUAAAGUUGAAUAAGGAGACACGCGUCCUAUGUGGCAAUAAUACACGUAAGACGUGAUGUAGGACAUGAAUUAGCCACGUAGGAUAACACACAGGACUCAUGUGUCUAUUUGUUUAACUUUAUACAAGUUUAAGUGUCUACCUAUACGCACUCAAAGUUAGAAGGCCAUAAAUACAAGCUGAAGUCAAGUAAAAGGCCACAUUUAUGUAUUAUGCCUAAACAAAUAGUAAACUAGGAUGUCGCUCAUAAAUGAACUCUGGGAUAAGAGUAAAAGUAUGUGUUAAAAUACGACUUCGCCACAUACUGAAACGUCAUCUUUCCCCAUAAUAGUCAUCCACAUCUAUAAGAAAACAAACUAAAGUUGACUAGCAUUACUGUAUAUAGAUGUUGCAGUUAAGGAAAUACAUCUCUGACAGUCGACUUGCUUAAAGAAAUUGAAAGAUGAACUGUAGUACCAGAGCUCAAACAGGUACUGUAAUCCCAAAAUCAACCUGAAUAUGUACUGUAAUCCCAAAAUCAAAUAGAGAAAAGAAUCUUUCUUUUGUCAAGUAUGAACUCCAUUCAGAAUGGUCGGCUAUCAAUGUCUGUGUUUUAAUCAUUAGUUGGUUUGUAUUAUAUAUUCCAUCACCCAGUCGAUCCACAUCUUCAUUCAGUGCAUUGGUGCGCCUCCAUCAUGAUCAGCAUUUUGCUCAUUAGCGCCUCCAUAGUGAUCAGCAUUUUGCUCAUUAUUAGCGCCUCCAUAGUGAUCAGCAUUUUGCUCAUUAUUAACGCCUACAUCCUGAUCAGCAUUUUGCUCACUAUUAGCGCCUCCAUCUUGAUCAUCAUUGUGCUCAUUAGCGCCUCCAUCUUGAUCAGCAUUUUCCUCAACAACUUCUAAUUCUACGUCGUGUAAAGGAAACAACGGAUCAUUAUUCCAGUAAGUAAGCCUGUGCCUGCCACAAAAUGCUCAUCUCUAUUAACCCUUACCAGUCAUACUGCAUAUGUCUACAGUCUGAAUUUGCAUAUUCAUAAUUAGAAACUUACAGUAUCAUAAGGAAUCUUCCUUGUCUAAUGGACAUGGAUGGUUGAGGGACUGCUAUCUGGAGAAAUCAUUAAUUCAGUAUUUAAUAAAAAGGAGCAACAAAAUCUCUUGUUCAGGAAAAUCAAAUGCUCUUUGGUAUUAGUUUCUUACAUAUCGCCACCCGAGCAGCAGUCCACAUUGGACACAGAGGGCAUCGGCCAGGGUGUUUCCACCCACUACAUGAAGAGCAUUCGCGUCUUGUAAUACUUCAACAUUAAACCUGCAUAUAUACAAAUGUGUGCAAUAAUACAUAUAUGUCUCAGACCGCAGAAAGUUUAGGCAAAUGACAAAUCUCAAGUUGCAGAAAUCAUAUGUAAUAUUCAUUUUUCAAAAAUGCAUGAAAUCUGAGACUUACACUCCACGAAAGAUCCCUACUGGCAAUACGGCUUGCACCUGCUCGGUGGAAAAGACAAGAAAAUGAGCAUAAUAACUUGUUUUGUGCUUAGUCAAGAAAUAUAACAUAUAUGCUUAAUUAAUCACAAUUCAUGAUGCAAAUAAAGCCAUUGAAUCUUACAUAUUGUCUUUAUGAAAUCAGUAGCAAUUUCAUCAAAAGAUACAACAUACUUUUUCCUAAACGAAUAGUUAGAACAAUUUAGAAGAAAUUAAUUCAAGAUUGUCCUGAAUUUGUUUGUGAACCAUUUGGUGUGUUCACAGACAAAUUGAUACUAUAAACAAAUUGCAAGAAAUGAUGCUGAGAGAUAGAGCGAGAAUCCUUACGGGCUGAAGGUAAUUCCCGAUGUGCACAACUGGAUUUCUGCACCUACGACAGCGGAUCCAAUCUGGAGGUCUCAUUGUAUCGACUUUGCGAAUCAAGAUGCAACUCCUAAUAGAUAUGUCAUAAGAACAAAUUCACUUAAACAAAGAACAAGGUGGAAAUUAUAACAGAGUUACCAGCUGUGAUAAAUCGAGUUCUUCACCGGAAAAAAGACUAGCUAGCUUCUCACCAUAUAACAAAUGUAACCAAGAAAAUGAAAAGAGUGAAUUUAAUGUGGCCGAAAAGAGAAUGUUGAUAUAGAAAAGCCACUUCUUGAUUCAAGAAAGUAGAAAUAAUCAAUGAGAGAAAAGGACUAACUUUCGUAGCAGAAUAUGAAUGUAACUUGGAGAAGAGAGCUGGUGGAGAAUGAGAAUUCAAGAAAAGUAGAAAAAUGCAGAACGAGUGAAUUUAAUGGAAGUGAGAAGAGAGUGUCAAUACAGAAAAGCUCUGUUUUGACGGUUAAUUCAAAAAAGUAGGGAGAUACAAUAAUUUUUAAUUAUGUAUCCGAAAAUUACCAAAACUAUGUAUUUGAGAAUGUAUCCAACUGUUUUGUGUUUUUUUAAAAAGUGGUUUAGGUAAUUAAUAAAAAGUGUAACACUUUAUUUAUUUGGACGGUGGUUUGUCAUGGUUUUAUAAUGUACCGUAUUGUAUAGUAUGCUAUUUUAUUGUUCAAUACAGAAAAUAGAAUAUUUGAAUGGACUGUAUCGUUCACUUUUAUUUCAUAACAGUUUUAUUGUUUUGUUUGACGGUAUGGUACUGUAUCGUACCAGAAAAAAUUAACUAAAAUAUCCUUAAUUAUUACAAAUAUUAAAUUUAUCAAAAUUCUUAAUAAAAUAGUUUUCUUCUUGCUAAUCUGUCACAAAUUAUGUCAUGUAAAUAUAUUAAAUUGUUAAGUUCAUGUAAAUUCUAACAAAAUUAAUACAAGAGUAGAUCAAAAUAAAUGUAAUCUGAUUUAUUUUUAUAGUAACAAAUUUCAUUUUCUUUUGGUGUUUUGAAGCGUGACCACCAACGACAAGUACAAAGUUUGAAUGCAGCUUUUGUGUAUGCUACAGGUGUGUUCGGUAUGAAAUACAAAAAAAAAUUCUAGGAAAACUAAUUAUUUCUUACUUAUUUUCUUGUGUUCGUUAUCCAAAUAGAAAAAUAUUUGUAUAUAUUUAACACAAAACAAUGAGAACGAAUAGGAUAAGGGGAUGGGGUAAGAUUUUAAAAAAAAAAGUUGAGGUAGGGGUUUGGUAAGGGGUGAGGUCGGGGGUCAGGUAGGGAUGGGAUAAGAAAAAAAUUUAUAAUUUUCUAAAAAAGAAAUUUUAAAAAUAAUUUUUGCGGGGGAGGGGGAGGGGUGCCUUGUGGGGUGGGGUUUAGGAUAGGCGGUGGAGUAAAUUUAAUAUAGGGUAAAAAAUAAAAUGAGAUUAUAUAAUAUUAAAUAAGGACAUAAUUGAAAAAAAAAAAUAAACAAACCAUGGAAUACCACCAAAUCAGUGACUAUAUAAAGUGAGGGUUUUAACAAAUCAUGAAAUUAAGUUAUACCAUAUCAUACAUGUUAAGAAACAAUCAAAACAAACAUAGUUCUAUUUGCAUAAUUUGACAUAUGUUUUGAAAUAUGAAUUCUCUUAAACUGUUUGAAUGAUAUGGUGGUCCAAACUUUAUGUUUUGAAUGAAGAGACCGGAACUUGAUAUUUUAUGGCUUAGAGAUAUGACUUGCAAGUCUUGAUAUGACGAUACCAAAUCAGAUAACGCCAUAAUAGACUGAGAACAGAAUAUAAGUCAAAUCUCAUUCAGAUUUUCAGAUUUUGAAUUCAGAAAGAUGCAUGUUUAGAACAGGUUAAAAAUGGGCACCAAGAGAGUUAGGUGGUUACCCGAAGUAGGCAUGAGUCAUAUGAUUCGUGCCUGAAAUCGUGUUUUAUCAAUACGGAUUUAUUAUAUCCCCAACGAGGGAUUAUAAGUUGGCCUAGUGCCUUGUGGCGUAUUAGAUUCAGAUACUCCAACCCUUGCGGUAAAUUUGGUGUAAUGACCCUUCAGGUCAUUUUUUAUAUUUAUGCUUAUUUUCACCGUUUGAGCUUCUUCAUAGCUGCCCCAAGUCAUUUAUGACUUGCUGGGACUGAGGAUUCGGUUAUCGGGCAGUUCGUUUGGUUUUUAGAGUCAACUCCCUCUUUAGAAGUCUUCGUUGGUUUCAAAUGGCCACCAAUCAAAAACUUCAGCGAACGAUCUCGGAUGAAAAUUUCGACUGCACCAGCAUAUCCGAAAUAUAGAUUUAAGUCUAGGUAGACCUUUGGUUUGGGUCCCAAUGCACCCGAACUCAUUUCGACCUAUUAGUCGAAAAGUCAUAAAAUCAAAACUAUAUAUGUGGGCCCCACUUUUUGCCUAAACAACCUUGUAUGGAGGUUUUGAUGAUUCCAAUGGUUUUGAAUUGUGGUUUACACUCAAAUUUCACUAUUGGAUCAUAUAUUUUGGGUCCCGAAUGAGUUUCGAGGGUCAAAAAUAAAUUUUUGACUUUGCUGUCGCAGGAUACCGCGUCUAUUCGCCGAAGGGGUCUAUAAAUAGAUCCAAGGUCGUGAUUUUGGGGAUUUUUCUUUCACAUUUGAGAACUUAAAACCCUAAAUGGGUAUGAUAACUUGAAAUUUAGUCUUGUGGGUGUCUAGGGAGCUUGGUAAACAUUUUUUAUCAUGAUUAAGGUAAGAUUUCAUCACUUUAUUGGUGAAUUUCAUUGUUCUUAACCCAAAAUCCCAAUUUUAGCUUAGGGCUUGAUUUAGCCCCAAAUUUCGUUUGUUUGUACCCAUCAAUUUAGGGUUAUGCUUUCUUGGUGUUAGAUGAGCAUUGGGUUGACCUCAGAAAUGCGAUUUUCGUAUGUGAGAUCCACUUGGACUUUUUGGUGUCAUUUUUGGACCCGAAGCACAAUAGUGCAAUAUAGGUAUCGUUAGACUCGUAUUGAUGAGUAGAUUAUAUUUUUGAUAUUGUGAUGGCAUUUUGGAGAUUGUGAAGUGAAGACGAGUAUAUGGUGCUUGAAGUGUGAUUUUGCGAUUUAGCCUUGAGGUAGACUUCUGUCUACUCUUCUUCAUGGAUGAUUGUAACACCCCGUAUUUAAGUACAUAUAUUGGCGUAUUCAAGUACGUGUAUUGGUCUUAUUUAUAUGGAAUUAAUUUUAUUUUAUUUUAUUUAUACCAGAAUUUGCCUGUCGAUGGUUCCAUAUGAAGGUUAUUGAAUAAGCUUUCCAACGAUAUAAAGAUUUCCAAAAACGGAUAGGUUUCGGAUAUAAUCGAGCACGUUCGAAACUAUAAAACGGUGGCCGGGAUAUUUGGGAAUAGUAAAUGUGCAGGAAAAUUUCCUGCACACAAACUACUGAGGUCAGUCAUUUUUUUUGGGUCAACUUUGAACGAUCAUAACUCCCUUAAUAUAAUGAACUGGGAGAUUUUCCACCUAUGAAAAGAAAGAUCUUUGAGUCUUCUUUCCAAUGCAAUUGGUUUCAUCCAAAUCCGACAUCUGAGUAAUGAGUUAUACUCGUUUUACUUCAGCCUCUCAAAAUAGAUUUUUAGGGUCAACUUCAAACGAUCAUAACUCCUUGUACAGGACGAACUGGGUGGCCUACUUUAUAUUAAAUGAAAGCCCUUUGAAUUAUCUUUCCAACGAUACCAAUUUCACCCAAAUCCGAUAUCGGAGCAAAGAGUUAUGGUCGAUUUACUUUAGCCUAUCAAAACAGUCCACCAUGGACAGAUUCGGAUUUACUUAAAUUUUAAGGGCAAUAUGGUCAUUUUCCAUCACCUCAUGGACGAAAAUUGGUCAUUAUANNNNNNNNNNNNNNNNNNNNNNNNNNNNNNNNNNNNNNNNNNNNNNNNNNNNNNNNNNNNNNNNNNNNNNNNNNNNNNNNNNNNNNNNNNNNNNNNNNNNNNNNNNNNNNNNNNNNNNNNNNNNNNNNNNNNNNNNNNNNNNNNNNNNNNNNNNNNNNNNNNNNNNNNNNNNNNNNNNNNNNNNNNNNNNNNNNNNNNNNNNNNNNNNNNNNNNNNNNNNNNNNNNNNNNNNNNNNNNNNNNNNNNNNNNNNNNNNNNNNNNNNNNNNNNNNNNNNNNNNNNNNNNNNNNNNNNNNNNNNNNNNNNNNNNNNNNNNNNNNNNNNNNNNNNNNNNNNNNNNNNNNNNNNNNNNNNNNNNNNNNNNNNNNNNNNNNNNNNNNNNNNNNNNNNNNNNNNNNNNNNNNNNNNNNNNNNNNNNNNNNNNNNNNNNNNNNNNNNNNNNNNNNNNNNNNNNNNNNNNNNNNNNNNNNNNNNNNNNNNNNNNNNNNNNNNNNNNNNNNNNNNNNNNNNNNNNNNNNNNNNNNNNNNNNNNNNNNNNNNNNNNNNNNNNNNNNNNNNNNNNNNNNNNNNNNNNNNNNNNNNNNNNNNNNNNNNNNNNNNNNNNNNNNNNNNNNNNNNNNNNNNNNNNNNNNNNNNNNNNNNNNNNNNNNNNNNNNNNNNNNNNNNNNNNNNNNNNNNNNNNNNNNNNNNNNNNNNNNNNNNNNNNNNNNNNNNNNNNNNNNNNNNNNNNNNNNNNNNNNNNNNNNNNNNNNNNNNNNNNNNNNNNNNNNNNNNNNNNNNNNNNNNNNNNNNNNNNNNNNNNNNNNNNNNNNNNNNNNNNNNNNNNNNNNNNNNNNNNNNNNNNNNNNNNNNNNNNNNNNNNNNNNNNNNNNNNNNNNNNNNNNNNNNNNNNNNNNNNNNNNNNNNNNNNNNNNNNNNNNNNNNNNNNNNNNNNNNNNNNNNNNNNNNNNNNNNNNNNNNNNNNNNNNNNNNNNNNNNNNNNNNNNNNNNNNNNNNNNNNNNNNNNNNNNNNNNNNNNNNNNNNNNNNNNNNNNNNNNNNNNNNNNNNNNNNNNNNNNNNNNNNNNNNNNNNNNNNNNNNNNNNNNNNNNNNNNNNNNNNNNNNNNNNNNNNNNNNNNNNNNNNNNNNNNNNNNNNNNNNNNNNNNNNNNNNNNNNNNNNNNNNNNNNNNNNNNNNNNNNNNNNNNNNNNNNNNNNNNNNNNNNNNNNNNNNNNNNNNNNNNNNNNNNNNNNNNNNNNNNNNNNNNNNNNNNNNNNNNNNNNNNNNNNNNNNNNNNNNNNNNNNNNNNNNNNNNNNNNNNNNNGAAGCACAAUAGUGCAAUAUGGGUAUCGUUAGACUCGUAUUGAUGAGUAGAUUAUAUUUUUGAUAGUGCGGUGGCAUUUUGGGGAGUGGGAAGUGAAGACGAGCAUGUGGUGCUUGACGUGUGAUUUUGCGAUUUAGCCUUAAGGUAAGCUUCUGUCUACUCUUCUUCAUGGAUGAUGUAUGAUAUAUAUUGUGUGAAUGUGAAUGAUAAGAUUAAUAUUGAAUAGAAUGACUUAGUAUUGAAUAUACAUAUAAGUUUGGAGAUUAGAUAGGGUUUUUGACCCGUAGGUUGAAUUACUUAGUAACCUUGUAGAAUCCUAUUGCCUUCUCCCUAGUUUGGGUAAAUUUGUAGCAUGGAUAUGAUAUAAUGCUAUGCUCGGAAUAUGGUUUUAGCAUUUGAAGCAUGAUUUGUAUAUUUAGCCUUAUUGGGCUAGUGUGAUAGUUUUGAAACCGUAAGUUUGAUAGAGUUAACUUGAGUACCCUUGUUUCUAAUCGAAGUUACUAUCUUAGGCGAUAAUAUGGCUUGCUUGACAUCUAGAGGAUGAACUAGAUACCUUAGCCUAGUUUGGAGCAUAGUAUGCUUAAUAAUGGAUUAGAAGUGGGAUUAUCCGGCCCACUUAGGCUAAGAUUUGUGUUAGCCCUUGUGGGCUUAGUUGCAGAUAGUAGACCUAGUUGAGACUAAUGAGCCUUAUUUAUGAGAAUUACUUGGUGAAUUGAUAAAUUAUGAUGAUUUUUGUCGGAUUAUGAUUAGUGGCCCAUAGAGAUGCAUUUUUCUCUUUAUUAUGAUAUUUGACCCAUAGAGAUGCAUUUUCCUCUUUAUUAUGAUAUUUGACCCAUAGAGAUGCAUUUUCCUCUUAAUUAUGAUAUUUUGUCCAUGGAAAUCAUUUUCCUCUUAAUUAUGAUAUUUUGUCCAUGGAAAUGCAUUUUCCUCUUUAUUAUGAUAUUUGGACCAUAGAGAUGCAUUUUUCUCUUAAUUAUGAUAUUUUGCCCAUGGAGAUGUAUUUUCCUCUUUAUUAUGAUAUUUGGCCCAUAGAGAUGCAUUUUCCUCUUUAUUAUAAUAUUUGGUCCAUAGAGAUGCAUUUUUCUCUUAAUUAUGAUAAUUUGCCCAUAGAGAUGCAUUUUUCUCUUAAUUAUGAUAUUUUGCCUAUAGAGAUGCAUUUUCCUCUUAGUUACGAUAUUUGGCCCAUAGAGAUGAGUUUCCUCUUUGUUAUAAUUAUUGAGCUUAUAGAGACGAUUUUUCUCUUGAUCAUGAUGCAAAACCUAUAGAUAUGAGAUGUCUAAUAGGGUUGAUAUGCUUGUUGAUAUUAUGCCUUCUAGAUGUGAGAUGAUUAUAGAUAUGCUACGGUUUAUAAAUAUGAUUAUUGAUAUGAGUUCCGGAUAUGUAUAUAGGCCUAAGGCCAUGAUUAUGAUGUUGUGAUUAUUCCGGAUAAAUUAAUGGGCCAAGGACCGUGUUAUGGUACUGAUUAAAUAUCCAAAAAGUGUUUAUCAUUGUGAAUGAUGUGAUUGCGAUUUAUGGAUAUGUAUAUGUUUGUAUACACAUCUCUCCGAUAUGGGACGGAGGAAGAUGCGGUAUGAUACUUAUUAUUUCAUUGAUUGAAUACUAGUGAUAGCAUGCAUAAGUUUGGUACGUUCAUGAUUAUUUACCAUUAUAAAUGAUGUGAUUAUAGCCGAAAUAUGAUAUUAUGGUUUUUCUUCUUGUUAGACGGUUAAGCUAUGUGGUAACUAGUUGUCUAUUAGCUAACUAUUGCACUUAAUGGCUAUGAAACUAAUGUAUUAAUUAAUGAAUCUUGCUUAGUUGGAACAUGGUAGCUAACGAUGGUCAGUUAAUGAAUGAUGUCAUUUAAUAAAAGAUGGUUAGGUGACAAGUAGUAAUGUGUUGUCUAGUAAUGAUUAACAAAAAUAGGAUGAAUAGCUGAUAAUAAUAAAUGGUAGAUAAAUGACGGAUUUGGUCUAAUGAUGAACCUAGACUAGUUGUUAGAUGUUGACUAUUAAAUGAAUAGUGGUUAGUUGUUAUCUCGUGAAUAAGGAUUAUGUGAACGAUAAUGUUUAGGCUAAUAACUAGAGGUUAUGUGAUGACUAGCGAACUAGCGGUUUAAUAAUAAUAAAUGUUGAUUAGCUAAUAACAAGUAAUUGGGAUGUAUUGAUAAGAUAGAUAUCUUUACGGUUAUGAGUAUAUAGGCUUGCGUCUGUGCACCUAUUAUAUGCCUAUAUUUAUGUGUCGAGAGUUAUGAUGAUACAUUGAUACCCGAUAAGGCCGGAGGAUAUUAUGAUGAUAUUGAUACCCGGUUCGAGUCCGGAGGAUACUAUUGAGAUGAUAUUGAUACCCGGCAAGAUUGGAGGAUAUUAUGAUGAUAUUAAUACCCGGUUCAAGUUCGGAGGAUACUAUUGAGAUGAUAUUGAUACCCGACAAGGCCGAAAGAUAUUAUGAUAUGUAACACCCCGUACUUAAUUACGUGCAUUAGUCAUUGUUAUAUGUGUUGGGGUAUAUGUAUUGAUCCUAAGUUAGGUAUAUAUGAGUUUAAGUAUGAGUAUUGAUUAUUUUGAGAUGGUUUCAAGUGUAUAGUUUGAUUAUAGGUGUAUAGGAAUCGACUUUAUUUAUACCGGAAUUUUCACGUCGAUGGUUCCAUACGAAGGUUCUUGAAUAAGCUUUCCAACGAUAUAAAGAUUUCCAAAAACGGAUACGUUGCGGAUAUAAUCGAGCACGUUCGAAACUAUAAAACGGUGGCCGGGAUGUUGUGAACAGUAAAUGUGCAGGAAAAUUUCCUGCACACAAACUACUGAGGCCUGCCAGUUUUUUGGGUCAACUUUGAACGAUCAUAACUCCCUCAAUAUAAUGAACUGGUUGAGCUACCAUAUAUCAAAAGAAAGAUCUUUGAGUCUUCUUUCCAAUGAAAUUGGUUUCAUCCAAAUCCAACAUCUGAGUAAGGAGUUAUACUCGUUUUACUUCAGCCUCUCAAAACAGAUUUUUAGGGUCAACUUCAAACGAUCAUAACUCCUUGUACAGGACGAAAUGGGUGGCCUACUUUAUAUGAAAUGAAAGUCCUUUGAAUUAUAUUUCCAACAAUACCAAUUUAACCCAAAUCCGAUAUCGGAGCAAAGAGUUAUGGCCGAUUUACUUUAGCCUAUCAAAACAGUCCACCAUGGACAGAUUCGGAUUUACUUAAAUUUUUAAGGGCAAUAUGGUCAUUUUCCAUCACCUCUUGAACGAAAAUUGGUCAUUAUAUACAUAUACUUAGCCUCAUAUCCAUUAUUUAUCAUCCAUUAUUGAAAACUAAGAAACCCUAGCCAAAUUUCAACUCCAAUUAUCUUGUGAUUCAACCGUAGAAAAUCCAAAUUGAUUCCGUAGUUGUGUUCACCGUCUCAAGGGCUUCGAGAAGCACCCCUUAUUUGUGCCAACAGGACUUCGAAAUCAAAAGGGCCAUUUUUUUGGUAAGGAUGUAAAUUAUGUUGGUGUUAUUUAUAUGGAUAUGUAUAUAUAUAUAUAUAUGCAUGUGAGCAUAAGAAGUAUGUUAUUUGAUUGUUGUUGAAAGAUGAUUGGAAAUGAUGUUGGAUUAUUCUUGUGCAUGGUUGGAUUAUGUUAAAUUGUGAAGGAAUUUGGGGUGAUGAUGUGGUAUUGAUGAUGUGGUAUUGAAAUGAUGAUUAUAUAUAUAUACACACAUAAACCUAUUGUUCAAGUUGGUUUUUGGAAUGUUUUGCAAAUAUUGGUAGUAUGGAAUUAUGGAAGAGAAUUGUGGUGUUGGGUUGCUAAUACUAGAUGCCAAACAUUUCAUUGUAGAUAAGUGAUUUGUAAAGGCGGGAAGUUGUGUUGAAUUGGUAUCUGAAUCUACAACGAGGUAUGUAAAGCAUACUCUAACAAUGUUCUUUGGCAUGAAAACACCAAUGUUCCAUCAAGUAAGAUUCCGAGGUUGUCCAAAAACAUGUAUUGUUCUACGUUACCAACGAAGUUGUUUCCAUUCUAUAAAGUGUCAAAAUGUUUCAUUGAUAUACCAAAAGGCUCUUAUUUCAUUGUUGUGAUAUUGAUGAUUCUGAAACACAUUGUUGAUGUACCAAUGAGUCUUUAUUACAUCGUUAUUGUAUAGAAGGUCUAUUACUUGGUUCCUAUUGAUGUAUCAUUGUUUCAAAGUAUCAAAAAUGUGGUGGCGACCGAAAUAACAAUCUCAAAGAUUAAUUGAACUAAGUGAUGAAAGUUCUCUCUUAUCGGGUGGUAUCCCAGGGGCAUAAGCCUAGCAUGGGUCGAUCCCUAUUUCAUGUGUUUAUGGGUGGUAUCCCAGGGGCAUAAGCCUAGCAUGGGUCGAUCCCAGUUGAUAUGUACUGGAGGCAUCCUAAUGGUCACAGUACAGUACAGUAAUGAUUACAAAGACGAUAAGAACGAAGGUAAAGUGAUUGAAUAAAUACAAUGUACAGGUUGUCACAAGUUCUAGUAAGUGUGGUCCACUCCUAUUACGACUUAUUCACUUGUUUCUGAUUUCUAUUGAGCUCCUAUAUCAUAUGUGAUUAUUUACAGCUUUACAUACUCAGUACAUAUUUCGUACUGACGUCCCUCACGGGGGACCUGCAUUUCAUGCUGCAGGCACAGGUACCUCAGCUCAUACACCGCCCAAGUAGGAGCCAGGUCAUACAACUAUUGUUGGUGAGCUCCAGUUUGCUUCGGAGCUUUUCGAGUCGGUUCCUUAUGUUUUGUUAUUGUACAUGAGUCAUGUGUGGGCGGGGGUUUAUCCCGACCCUAGUUAUGUCAUGUAUAUCCUAGAGGCUUUGUAGACAUAAGGGAGGGUAAAGUCAUGGAAGUUUAUAUAGUAACGUUAUAUUUGUAUAUGUGGUGGCCUAUAUAUAUAUAUAUUUGCGCGUGUUGUGCUGAUACAGGUAAUUAGACCCUUCUAUAUGCAACGAAGUGCUGUCCAAUUUUUGGUGACAUGUAAGUGAAAGUACAGGUAUUUGAACGGGUUCUCCCGGGCCUUCUCGGCUUCGGGUGCCAGUCCGGCCCGAUGGGAUUUUGGGGCGUGACAGAUAUUGAUACCCGGUUCGAGUCCAGAAGAUACUAUUAAGAUGAUAUUGAUACCCAGCAAAGCUAUUGAUACCCGGUUCGAGUCCGGAGGAUAUCAUUGAGAUGAUAUUGAUAUCCGAUGAGGCCGGAGGUUGAUGACGAUGAUGAUGGUCCUGAUGAGGACAGUUAUGAUGCAUUGUGAUAUUGAUGGUAUAUUUUGCAUUCAUUCCUGCAUGCGCAUCGCCUAUCACCAGUAAGCACCUAUGUCUAUCAAUCGGUAUGGGACGGUUGCAUAGAUAUGGGUGAAGAAUAUGUCUUGUGUUAUUGUUUGUUAAUUGAACCUUCCAAGUCUGGGGUGAUGGGGGUACACAUAGGCUCGGCUAGGUAUUUGAUUGUCCGGAGUAGCCAGUUAUUUAUGAUGUUAUUGAUAUUGUUAUUAUCAUGGUUAUGAUCAUUAUUAUGGAUAACUUAUGACAGAUUGGUCAUGGAUCCGGUAUUGGGAUUGAGGUAUGUUUUCGACCUUUGUUAUCUUAUGAUUAGAUUAUUAUGCAUGAUUAUUCUAUGUCUAGCCAUAUGGAUUAGAAAUCCUGAGUAUGUUGGUAUUGAAUCCUGAUAGUAUUAUAAUGAGGUCUUAAAAUGAGAACAUGAUGAUGUAGGUUAUGUUGAAAUGACCUUCUAUUUUUAUAUAUAUAUAUAGAGAGAGAGCUAUAUGAAGUCAUGGUACUAUUGGAUAUCCCUUUCUUCGUUGUUCAUAUUGUAUAGUCGUUCCUUCGCCUUGUCUAUUACAAUAUAUCUUUAUUUCGCUCUUUAUCUGUAUAUUGACCUGGGAUACACGGUAUAGCUUUGGCAUAUAUUGAAUGUAGCUGGAAUAAAAUAGUACACCUUGAUACUUCGUUAGUCUUAUUAUGUUAGACUCUUGGACAUGAAUAUGAUAGUUGUCCCUUGUUAUUCUCAUUGACUUAUUACAUGAUUUAUGGACUCUUGGUUGUAUUUUUCAUUCUGUUUAUAUGUUGUAUAUAUCUACUUUAUCUUUGGAGCUCAGUUGGUAGUUGCCUACUGAGUACCAUUCGUUUGGUACUCAUACUACACCUCUGCAGCCUGCAGAUCAUAGUACGAGUUGUCGCCGUUGAUGUGUUCAUCGUGUGGAGUAGCCCUGAUUCAGAGUGAGCUCCUGACAUUUGGAGUAUUACUUAUCUCUCUCCUAUGUAUUAGACUAACCUCUAAGUUGUAUUUAGAGGUAAGUUGAAUUAGUGUAUUUCUCCUUGAUAUAUCACUUUUGUACUCUUAUUAUAUUUAGAAGCUCUUGUAUUGAUACCACCAGGUUUUGGGAUUCGUCUAUGUAUGAUCUUUAUCUCACAUAUUUCGCAUUUUUUUCUUUAUGUUAUUAAGUAGUCCGUUACUAGCCAUUCCGGACUAUGGGUUGGCUUGCCUACUGGUGGGUUAUGUUAGGCGCCAUCAUGACCUGAAAAGUUGGGUCGUGACAUUUGGGUUGGGGGCUUGUCCACCGAGUUAAGGGCGGGUCUCAUAUAGCCCGUGGGAUACUUUCAGAUAUGUAGGGUGUACCACCUAACUCAGAAGUAAAACAAAAAAAUGAAUUGCAUCUACAGAAUUGUUUUAAGAUCAUUUGAAAUUGCCCAUGCAUUUUAAAUUAUUUUAUGCAUAACAUUUUAUGAAAUGCUCUUGCUUAUGUUAUAUAUAAAAUUAUAUUAUUUUGGAUUGCUCUGUGUAUUAGUACAUCUGUAUUGACCCCCUAUAUUUCAGGGUGUGAGGCUUAGUCAAGGGGUCCCUCUAAGCCGUAGAUUUGUCAGACAGAGGUGUGCAGUUGGUAAGUCUCCCUUAUUUUGGAAGACCUAUUUUUUUUUACAUUGUUAUUUCAUUUUGGGUUGUAGGUCCGACUAGGGGACUUGUCCCAGUAUUCAGACAAUAGUGUUUUUGAGUUGUUGGAGAUUUCACAAACUAGUGUCAGGUGCUUUUGAAUGUAUCAUGAACUCAAUUUUGUGUUGUUCAGUUGAAGUAAAAGAAUGACCAUGAUUUCGUAUGAUAACUUUUCCACACUUCUGUAUAUUGUAUGAACAUUGUGUAUGGUUGCCAGAUAAAAAAGGGGCGCUCGGGCCUUCACGGGUUCGAGAUGCUCGUCGCGGCCAGGGCCUCGAUUCGGGUAGUGACAAUUAGCAUCUUAAUACAUAAUUAGCAUCUAAAUACAUAAUUGUAAUGUUGAGAUACAUAAUUUAAUUACUGAGAUACAUUUAUUUCUGAAACUAUUUGAUAGAGAUACAUAAUGCAUUAACUAGACCAAAGAGAGAUACAUAAUUAAUUAUGUAUCUAAAAAUUAUGUGUUUGUGGAUGUAUCCGACUGAUUUUAAAAAAAAUGAGAUUUAGGUCAUUAAUAAAAAGAGUAGAAUUUUACGUAAUUUAGUAAAGAUAAGUUGUGGUGUUAUGUAAGUUUUUUUUUUUAAUUAAAUGAAAAAAAUACUCAAAACUAUAAUCUAAGUUUCUAUUAUUACAUAACUACUCAACUAUCAAAAAUAAUUAUAAAAAUCUCUUUUUGACACUUUCUCUCUUCAAACUUCAUAUACAUAUUUCUGUUAUCCUUUUCUUACACUUAAUGCUCCAAAAAAAGUGUCUAACAUCAAGGAACCUCAAUCAAACGAUUUUCAAAUUUUGAAUUUACAAAUGUGUUCUUCGCAAAUCGCUCAACAUCAACUUUUCCACAAAAAGGAACCACAACCGCCACAGUCCCAGCCAUCAUGUCGCCAACUAGUCUCCCCUCAUUAACAACGACCAAUGAAGGCUUCACCGGUUACCGUUGCUCCACCAUCACUAGACCAUUACCUUAACCCCCCACCCUUUCUUAUGUCAAUACCGCGCCGCUAACACAUGCUCCAUCCAAGAUUGAUCCCAACAACUGCGUCGAGUGGCCAGAGAGAGGUCCGCGACGACCACCAGUCAAACCCUAAAAUUUUUUCUCAUCCCGCGAGUUCUGAAAAUACUUCGAUGAUUUGAGCAUUGACGAAAUUUCAACGCCGAUUCAAAGACAAGGAAAGUUUCAACAUCGAGUCAAAUACUUAUCAUGUAUCAGAAUAAGUUGUUAUUUCAAUAAUAUACAUAACAUAGUUAUGUAUAUGGAUGGUUAAAACGGUAAAGACAAUAUAAUCUGAUGCAUAACACAUGAAUGUAUACAUAUGACAUUUGACAUUGCUGAGAGUUUUUAUAUCACAUCAUAUACAUAACAUAUAUGUUUGACAUAGACAUUGCUGGGUUGUUUUACUUCAAAAAGUAUACAUAACAAAGGUAUGUCUAUGUAUGCUAUACAAAUUGUUGAGUUGUUUUAUUUUAAACCAUAUGCAUAAAAAAGUUAUGUAUAUAUUUGACCUAGACAUUGUUGGGCUUUUUCAUUCCAAAUUUAUAUACGUAACAGAGUUACGUAUAUGUAUGACAUACAGAUUGCUGAGUUAUUUUAUUUUAACCCAUAUACAUAACAUAGAAAUUUAAUGCAAAGUUCUUGGUGUUGAAUAUAGCCUCAACUAUUAGGAGAGCUCUUAUUUUCAUAUCACCAAUACAUAACUAUGUUAUGUGUAUGGAAUACAUAAGCAAUUGCACAUGUGUGUUGACGCAUCUCGCAACAUAUACAUAUCAUAGUUUUGUAUAGGACUCUGUUCGACCUGUUUAAUUGUAUUAUUUCAAUCUAUAUACAUGUCACACUUUUGUAUAUAGAAGAAUGUUAGCCAUUGCUCAACUGUAUUAUCAGUAUUGAAAAUUUUUGUUAGAAAUUAAAUUAAUAUUAAUUUGCAAUGUAUAUUAUUAUAGGAGAUGGAAUACAUCAAAUGCCUCAAUAAUAUUGGAAUGUUCAUCUUUUUGAGAAAUUCUUUUGAAAAAUAGAGCUUGAGAAAAAUCGCAAAUUAUUGAUCGAAAAUAUAAAAUCUGAUGUUAUUUGAUCGACUACAUUGAUUUUGUAUUUCAAAAAUUUUAAAAUUUAAAUUUAUUACUGAUUUUAAGGGAUUCAAUGUUCACUCAUUGAUAGAUAUGACGUUAAUUGCGUUCCACAUUAAAGGAAGACGUGGGUAAUGUGAUAGACAUUUAACUCUGAUAUUUGGUUGAAAUUAAUAGAAUGUUUUUGUAAAAAUAAAAGAAUAAGAUCAUUCGUAACAAUAAAUAAAGUUGAAAUUUGUGUCAUGGCCAAACAUUUUAACUUUUUACUAAAGUGAAAUAAUUUUUUAAAAAAUAAAAAAUUGUUUUGUCCAAACGGGUCCUAAAAGGUGGGAGGGAGUAACAAUUAGUAGUAGUCGGUGAUCGGCUCCUUCAAUCAACGGCUCAUAUUCAGUUUCCGCCUCUCACAUGGAUCGACAUUUCUAUCCGUCCGAUUAACAUGUAAAUCCCCGAAUAUUUAACGGCUGCGAUUUACUCCCCGCCACAUUUCGAACCGCGAAAAUUCAUGGCGCCCAAAUCCCCAAAUAUUAAAUACCCACCACGGUAUACUUCAUUUCUCAUUCAAAUUCAAAACCCUUGAAACUGUAUCUUCUUCAAAUUUCUCUUCGUGAAAAUGUCUGGCCGCGGAAAGGGAGGCAAGGGAUUGGGAAAGGGAGGAGCCAAGAGGCACAGGAAGGUUCUAAGAGACAACAUCCAGGGAAUUACCAAGCCAGCCAUCCGUAGGCUUGCUCGUAGGGGUGGUGUGAAGCGUAUCUCCGGUCUGAUCUAUGAGGAGACUCGUGGUGUGCUCAAGAUCUUUUUGGAGAACGUGAUUCGUGAUUCGGUUACCUACACUGAGCAUGCCAGGAGGAAGACCGUUACUGCUAUGGAUGUUGUUUAUGCUCUUAAGAGGCAGGGAAGGACUCUGUACGGAUUUGGUGGUUAAAUUGCAGAAGUUGUGAAUUAGAUCAGUUGUUAGGUGGUUGAUGUAGAUCUGAUGGAAAUUUCUGUGUUUUGGUUUCUAAAACGUUGUUCUAGUUCUUAAGCUUUGGAUGGUGAAUUUCUCAUUGCAUUUUCAAUGAACAAUGUUCAGUUUCUAGAAAUUUCUAUUGUUAUUUUCCAUCUUACUAGUAUUGUUGAUAAUUGGUUGAAAUGACUUUUACUAUUUGUGCAAUUCAGAUUUAUACAUUCAUGAAAUGCACCAAUUUUCUUUCCAUUUCUCCGUUGUUGAGAAAGCUGAAAGGUGGAUAAGCAUUAACUUUGUGGGCACAGUAUCUAAGUUUCUAGCUUGAGCGAUUCAAUCUGGAGAGGGCCAUGUUUUAAUUUUGUUUUUUAAAAUAUCCACUUGCUUUUUGUCCGCUGUUUCUUGAUAAUUUGAAUGGUUAGAGUGUGUUUAAUUGUAGUUUGCUUUAGUAGCUGAUUAUCUUGAUAUUGAUUUGUUGUCUCAUAUCUAAAUUGUAGCUCAUUUCCUUCUUACCUUGAUGACUUUUGCUCUCUUCUGAACUAGUGUUUGUGAAUAUCCUCUUCAUGUGCUUAAUUGUCUAAAAUCACACGGGAUGGGUUUAGGCAACGAGUUGUGGUUCAUUUCAAAUUGAAUUUUGUUGUUUUGUUGAGCUAUUUUUCAAUUUUUUCCUGUUCCUUAAAUCAUCUUGAUUUGUCAUCUUUUGGAGAUUUGACUUGAUUGAGUUGAAUUUGCUUUGUGUUAUGGUGCUCUUUCCUUAGGCAUAUAUGUCUGCUCUACCCUGUACUUGAAUUUUGUGGAAUGAGUUAACUGCGUGCUGAGUGAUGAUAUAAGUAAGCAGCUAAGUGGUUCAUGGGUCUUACGGCAACAUACCUAGACUUCUUCAUAUGUCUAGACUAGAAUUUUAAGUCUGUUAGUAGUUUGCAUCACUGCUUUAUUUCGACUUGGAUAAUUGGGCAGCCUUCGAGUUUCUUUUGCAUGAUGGUUUGGACUCUCACAAGGUUGGUCUUUUUUCUAAAUUCUAAUGCGUCUUUCUGAAGUAGGAAAGAGAUCUGCAAAGCAGAUCCAUCUUCGUAAGAAUAUCUGCAGAGCUCAACAUCUAUUUGUUUCAAAAUUUUAGAACUUAUCACAUUAUAGUUAGGAGAAACUGCACUCAAUAGCCUCAAUAUACACUCUGAUAUAUCCACAAAACAUGAAGUAGCAUGACGGUCACAUUUCAGUCAUCAGGCUCCUAUUUCCUUUUGAUCUUAAAUUUUGAAGCUGUCUCAACAGUUAGGUCUUUGUAGUAUUGGUUUACAUAUUCAUCACAAUAUCAGUCCUUUGAAAUUUAUUCAUGGUUAAAUAACAUACCCUAUGUGAUCUUGUAAGUCGGAUUUAGGGAGAGUGGGUAUACGUUGUUGGGUUCAAUAUGUAUGAAAAAUGUGUGAAUGGAAAAUAGAGAGAAAAUGGUGGAAGGAAGGAGACACUAAUUUAGAACGUGUACUCCCAAAUUGGAAAUUUCACUAAUUCUCCCACAUUGGUGGGAGAAGGGAACUUUGGAGUGUUUAUAAUGAUGAACACUUACUCCACAUGGUAAGUGAGGCAAGAAGUAAGAGAUGACUUGCGCCGUUGUCGCUUGCGCGGCUCGGAUUUGGAUUUUUCAAAUGAUCGAUCGAUGAGAUCUAUUUUUUGGACAAAAUUUAUUUGAAUUCUGAAAAAUACCAAAGGGAAAAAUGAAUAACGCACUAAAUAUUUUCUGUGUUUAAUACUCCAUUUAUAUGCACUUCAGUAGUGUUUCGAAACAUGCAUGCAGAAGCUAUUUCGAACUGAACAGAUGCUUCAGAAGGAUGCACUGUUUCGAACUGAUGCUUCUGAAGGAUGCAAUCCUUCAACGAAAUGAUACACUGUUUCAUGAAAUGAUACGCCUGUUCGGAACAAACAUAGUCCUUGGAGAAACAGACGUAAUUUUCCAGAAAAGGUGCAAUCUUUUAAGUGAACUAUUGCCACCUUUCAGAAGAGGCAUCUGAUGGUUAUAAAAACCUGCUUUCAUCCACAGGUUUGGAUAUGAAUGAAAUUUUUUUCUGAAAUAAAAACUCUUCUUGUCUUCAAAACAUUCCUUGUGAUCAAUCAAAUCGUUGAGUGAGUUCGUUGAAUUCAACAAUUUGAGGUAUCGCUGUUGUUCGGAUUGAAGACCAUUUUAUCCUGGGAGGAAGAUUUAUAACCUCGAGUACAGUGAGGGGAAUUAUUCCUUAAGGACAGUCCGUGAAGUCGGGGAACUUGGCCUUAAAAUUCUAUUUCAUCUCUUUUCUGAAAAAAAAAAAAAUUAACACACUUCUUAGAUAGAUUAUUCAUAAUCUAGUGUUGAAGGUGUUAAAGAACUUCAAAAGUGUUCUUGCCUUAGACUUGAACUAGUAUUGAAGUUGGUGUUGCAUUUUAUAUCGAAGUUGGUGUUGCAUUUUAUAUUGAAGUUGGUGUUGCAUUUUAUACAGAUUCUUGAAUCCAAAACAUUACAUAAAAUAACGUACGUAGACCUUACCCUGCCUCAUAUGUGAGAGAGACUGUUUCGUCUAGACACUUGGCUUAAAGAACAAUUUUUUGCAAAGCAGGUUGACAAAUAUAAGAAUAAAAGCUAUAAUCAUUAUAUAGUGUGUAAAAUAGAAGUACUGACCAAAAUAAAAGUAAAGAUAACCCAAGUAAAAAAUAAGUAGUAGGAGUUAGUUUCUCAAAUUGUCAUUUCAAAUUGAAUUCAGGAUUGGAAGAGGUAUCAAGGUUCCGUGGUGUAGUUAAUUAUCACGUUAGUCUAACACACUGAAGGUCUCCGGUUUGAGUCUGGGCAAAACCAAUUUUAAUCUCUUUUUUUUUUUUUUUCGUUAGUUUUGCUGCAACUUACUCAAGAAGCCAGGGUCCUUGUGUUGAGACUUGCUUUGGUGAAAGGAAAACUUUACUACGAAUUCACGGCAAACAGGACUACAGGAUUUGAAUUAGCUCAAUCAGCAAUUUUUUUGAGUUUUCCUGAUGUGCCAAACUGGAUUGGUGCUGAAACUUUAAGGAGUCUUAUUGGGAGGCUAGAUGCUUCGGAAAUCAAGUUUACUUAUGUCUAGAUUGCAAUAGCAACUUGCCAAAAGGUAUAUUUUGCUAUCCAAGAAAAUUUAACGACAAAUAUGAAAGUAUAGCAGUCGCAGGUAAUCAGCUUAGAAAUAGACAGGAUAUUCUUCUGUCAAACUCUAAACUUCACAACGUGUGAAAUCAGAAGACAACAAGUUCCCUGCUUUUAUGCAUAAGACUUGAGCAAAUACCAAUUCCAUCCUAAGAAAUUGACAUGAAUCAGAUAGACGAGUUACACAGAGGAAAAUAAAUAAGCACUGCAAAAGAUAUGGGAGACCGCCCCAUAUCUUCAGGGUGAGAGCGAAAAUCGAAAACCAUUAGGUUCACAAUUUUCAAACGUAUGUUAAGUAGCAAAACAUCAUCUUUCCCAAUACUAAAGUUCAGUAGCAUUUAGUGUCAAGUAAAAUAUAAGGAAAUAGAUCAGUAAUCUAGUAGUAACUUUUAACUAGUCGAUUAUACUCAAAUGUUUGACAGAUGACUUGUAUCCAGAAAUUAAAAACAAACUAAGAGCAUAUAGAGAAUGGUAGUACUGCAAUCUCAAAACAGAAUACCACACAAUUAUGGAAUUAGCAUUUUGCGUAAGUAUGAAGUCUAAUUACUCUAUUCAAAAAGUGUAUAUCUUUCUGCAUUUUGAUCAGCAUGAAUAGGCUAUCAAUGUAUGCAUUUUCAUCAUUAGUUGGUUCAUAUUAUCUAUAUCAUCAGCCAGUUGAUCAACAUCUUCAUUCAGUUCAUUGGGGUGCCUCCAUCUUGAUCAUGAUUUUGUUCCCUUUUGGAAUUGGAGCUUGUUUGCUUGUGGCGUUUCAAAGAAAUUCAUGCGAGCUUUGAUCUACCGUAAAUAAUAUCAUAUUAUGUUAAAAUAUCUUAAAUUAUUUUAGUCCAACAAUUGAUAUGAGUCUAUGGUUGACUAAGGAGAUGGGGGAGUGAUGAUGUAAGUCCCAACUUAGUUCCUUUGCCCGUUUACUUGUUGAUGUUCUAUUCUUAUCUAUAGUUUUAAAGAUGCAUACAUAAAAAAAGAAAAGUAUUUAUGGUUGUAUUAGCCACAACUACUCGGUCGAUUUUUUUUUUUUUAUAUAAUACUUUUGUACAUCCUAUUUUAUAUGACACACUUUUCUUUUUAAUCCGUCCAAAAAAAAUCUGACCUCACUAUAAUUAGAAAAAAAAAUAUGUAACUUUAAAAUUUUCCUUAAUGAAAUGAUUUGCAAUCAUAUAAACAUUCAAAACUAAUUUCAAACUACAUAUUUAAAAAUCACAUAAAAUGAAACGGAGGAAGUAAUAAUUAAAUAGUAACGAGCUGCGAGAAAGAGAAAACAAAUGCCUAAAUCUUCUUUCACAUGGAUCGUAUCCCCGUCCAAUCAUAUUCAGUUUCCGCCUCUCACAUGGAUCGACAAUUCUAUCCGUCGGAUUAACAAGUAAAUCCCCAAAUAUUUAACGGCUGCAAUUUACCCCCCGCCACAUUUCGAACCGCGAAAAUUCACGGCGCCCAAAUCCCCCAAAUAUAAAUAUCCACCACCAUCUACUUUACUUUUCAUUCAAAUUCAAAACCCUAGUAUCUUUUUCUUCUUCAAAUUUCUGUGUGUGAAAAUGUCUGGUCGUGGAAAGGGAGGCAAAGGAUUGGGAAAGGGAGGAGCCAAGAGGCACAGGAAGGUUCUGAGAGACAACAUCCAGGGAAUUACCAAGCCAGCUAUUCGUAGGCUUGCUCGUAGGGGUGGUGUGAAGCGUAUCUCCGGUCUGAUCUACGAGGAAACCCGUGGAGUUCUCAAGAUCUUUUUGGAGAACGUGAUUCGUGAUUCAGUUACCUACACUGAGCAUGCCAGGAGGAAGACUGUUACUGCUAUGGAUGUUGUUUAUGCCCUCAAGAGGCAGGGAAGAACUCUCUAUGGAUUUGGUGGUUAGAGCAGUUGUUAGGUAGUAGAUGUAGAUGUGAUGGAAAUUUAUGCUGUUUCUGUAUUUU